CUCCAGAUCUGACCAUCCCGCUCCAACUGAUGCACCGAAGUCACCGAUCGGUAAUUCCGGAGACGGUGUUCACCUCCGAUGAUACUGAACCCGAUGACGUGUCUCUCGUCGUCGUGAAUAUCGAGUCUCUCCGUACUUGUAUCCGCUGGUAAGCCUGAUAUUACAUUAACCUCUCUUGUACAACCUAACUUCAUUGUGAAUCCUUCACUCACCGUACAGCUCUUGAUGAAGUGCUUGUAACUUUGAGGCUGGUCGAACCUUCGUACGAUGGACCAGACCGCCUCUGAUGGUGCCUGAACACGCUGAGCAAGUAAGGAGGAGCACCGGCCGCGGGUGAGUUUGUAGAUGUGAAACUCUGCUACUAAGUCCUUCAACUCGUCGAACUCUUCCUGAGUGAGGCCGGAGGGCAGUGCGGAGAGAUGGUGAGUUGUGAGAUAAGUUUCUUCGGAGUUUGAGUUUGGUUGGAGCUGCUGCUCCGUGGACGCGGCAGAGGCUUCCCCGUCGAGCUCGCCACCGUCGGCUUUCUCCAUGGUUCUUUCCCCGAAAAUGUUCGAUAGGUUUGUGGGAAAUAUAAAGAUGAGUGAAAUGAGGAGAAAUUGCCUGGGGACCUCUCCCCCUUUAUAUUUCGUUUAUCCUUUGUCUCUUUGUUAUUUUAGUGCUAAGGAAAGAAUGGUUUGUUAUAUAUAUACAUAUAGAUAUAUAGAUAGAUUAUGAGUUAGAUGGUUUAUUUUUACUUAAGGAAAAUUUGACUUGGGUUUAGUGUUAUUAAGGUCGAGAUUGGCUUUGGACCAAGUUAGCCUCUCUCUAGCUAUAAAUACAUGUGAGUUUGAAUUAUGUACGAAAUAUAUGAUUACGACUGUGUCGAGGUUGAUUAGGCUAGUUUGGCUUUGGGCCAAGCUAGCUUUCUCUCUAAGCUAAUUUCAUCCUCCAACUAUGUUAGCUUGCAUUUAUUGUUAUCUCCUAAUUGAUUCUUUUUUGGCAUUGAUUUUAUCUUUGUUUUUUAAUACAACAAUUGUAAAGACAAAAUAUCGAUUUUAAAAGAAUGACAUGUCAAUAUGGUUGAACUAGAUUUAAUUUGAAUUAAUUUACUUAAAGAUAAUAAAAAUAAUUUUGAAAUUUGAGGUUUUUCUUUGGUGUAAUAUAUGUGUGAAUAUUAAUUUUUUUUUAAAAAGAAAUUUUAGUUGGAAAUUAGUUGUGAGUUAAUUAUUGAUGUAAUUUAAAUUUUACCCACUUUCUAUUUAAUUUUUUGGACUUUAUCUUUUUGUUAUAUUAAUUGCUUUGAUAUAAUAACCAUGUUGAUUUGAGGAUCAAUUAUUCUUCCUUUAUUUAUUUUAAAAAAGUUUAGAACGAUAUGAUUUCUAGUUACAUUUUAAAAAGUGUACUAUGUAAAUAUAUUUUCAACAUUUAGGGUCAAAAGUUUUAAUAUUAUAAAAUUAAAAUUGUGAGUAUUUGAUCUUUUCUAUGUCGACUUAAAGUAAGUAUGGUGAAUCAAGACUAAGUAAGUAUGGCGAAUCAAGACUGAGGUUGCACGUUAAAAUAAAAUAAACACAAAAAUUUGCAUGAGUCAUCCACUCUAGACAUAGAAAAUUUGAUUAAAAGUCUUAGAAAAAAAAGAAUAUUUCAAUAGUUUCAUCAAGUAAAAGAAUAUAAUAGGGAGAAGUAGAAUGCCAGAGCUUAUCCAGCUAAUGAGAUAUACUAUUGAGUUUUGUGGAUGAACAAUCCUUAAUUCUUUUUCUUUAAAACUUUUGGUGCAAUUUGUUGUUUUAAAGUCAAAAGAUUAAUAAGUAAAUAGCUUUUUGUUUUCAUACAAACAUGAAGCAUCCAACUCAAUUAUAUGAUUGGUUAGCAGCCAUCACCAAUAUCUCCUCUUUCUUCUUUAGAAUUUCCCCUUUGAGUACCCCAUCACUAUCUCUUCUUCUUUAUUGAGUAUAACAACUUAUAAAAUUUCUCAUAUUCAGUAGAGAAUCAAACUCAAGAAUCCAUCCUCGACCCUAUAUAGUCUUGUUGAUACCUCUAAAUCUUAGCCUACCAAUGCUAAUAGUAAUUCAACUUAGAAUAUCUUUGCUUUAGUAGGGUUGGAAGGUUUCAUCGCUUUCAAAGUUAUUUCUAAACAUCUAGAAAAAGAAAAAAAAUCAUGUUAUGAAGUUUAUCCAUGAACCAAUGUGUUAAGGAAAGAGAGAUUUCUCUCCCAUCAUAGAAAAGGAAAUAAUCAAAGCCUUCUAUGAAUUUAAAUGGAUCUCCUUUUUUUUUGUUUCCUUUUUCUUUCUUUGAGAAGGGAAAUAAAAUGAAGAAUGUUAAUGUUCAAUCAAAUAGUGGAAGGAAGAUAUAACUCAAGAAGGGAUUCAAUCAUAAUCAUCCCAAGCUUGAUCUGGUGAUCUCAUAAGCCAGAAAACAAGCAGCAUUUGCAGGUACACUCCGGGCCAUGGCAGGACCAAAACCUUUGUAUAGUCCUUUAACUCCUUCCGACGCUAGGAUUUUUCUAAAGGCAUCCAUGGAACCCGAGUACUUUGGGUUUUUGUAAUCAUCUACUUGAAGUACACUCUUGACAACAUCAGUUGGAUAGACGGAGAACCAAAAGGUACCUCCAGCCAAUCCUCCAGCCACGAUCAGUGAGCCUCUUCCGAGGUUUGAAGUGUCUGGCCCGCCUGCAAACUUCUGCUUUAGCAACUCAUACACACCAAACAUGGCAGCAUUUCCGGGUACUUCACGGGCUAGAGUAGGAGCCAAUCCCUUGAAGAGACCCCUUGCACCGCCUUCUGAUUUGAGAACGUGCCGGGCAACAUCCAUUGGCCCUCCAUACUUCACUGUUAAGCCAGCUGAACCGGAUUGUCCCAAUGCACUUUGAGCUUGCAAUCUGCAACCAUAACGACAGCAGACAUAUUAGUGGUCAUAUUUGAGCUUACAUAAUAAUCAAUUCCUCUCUAAAUAACAAAACUAUACAUGUUUUGUUUAGAAUCAAUAUUUGAUAUCAGUAUUAUCUCAUUAACAUUAUAACUCCUCCAGGAUACAAAAGCGCGGGGUGGUAAGAGAAUUUGAACAGGACCAACAUAACGAACCUGCACUUGAUUAAUUCAGUAGGGCAAGCGAGAAAGGACACAGCAAGUCCAGCCCCAGCUCCACAAAUCACCUGCUGAUUGACAGUUAGGGGUACACCAGGUUGAGACCUUAACAAUGUUUCCAUUUGUCCUCUUACUGAAAAGAGAACGGCAUUGAAGGCUGCAACAGUUGCGAGUGGAGCUCCCAUACCCUUGUACAGCCCACGAGGGCCUUCAGCUGCUAGAGUUUGCUUGACAGCAUCCAUGGCACCAGAGAACUUAGGAAGCUGGCCGGGAAGUGGAACAGGCUGGCUUUGCAGCUUGACCUUUAUAGUAUCGAACGGGUGUCCACAUAUCAACUGUGCUGCUCCUCCGACAGUCCCGGCAGUGAGGUCCUUGGCCACGUCUCCCAUCGUACAAAUUCAAUGUAAAAAGUGUGGAGACCUAUUAUGGGAAGGAAUGACAAUGGAAUUCUCUGAGUCUUUUGAAUUGAUGAAUCUGAAGCAUAAGGUAUAUGAGAGAUCCAAACAAACGAGCAAUACAAGAAAAAGAUAUUUCAUCAAUAGAUGGACCCACGAGACAACCCUUCACCAAUAGAUCCUUCAAUCACAAAACACCCUCGCCCAAUUAUAUAGAAUUCUGGAGAGCAAAUGCAGCACCGUAUCUAACUUCUACAUGGUCCAACAAAGACUCACUGACUACCACAAAUAUUCAGUUUCAAGCAUACUUGUGUUAUGUCAAUACGAUGGCUGUGGUAUUGGAGAAAGAUCAUAGAUGCCUGUUUCAGGAUGGUAUAGACCAGAUUAUGCUUCAGAAAAUACUAUCCGUCGCCAUUUAUGCCGACUGCUUCCUCUAGGCUCAAGGUAAUUCUAGUAAUCAAAAUUCCCAGCAAAUUUUCACCUAAAUUUAAAUAGGAUGGAUAUUGACUGCAAGUGUAGACAAGUUUCUACAGAGAUAAGCUUAACAUAAACACUUUAGUUUGGCUAGUAUGUCCAAUACUUGAACACACCAACACUUGUUGGUGUAACAUAUGGAUUAGAUAUGCAUAAACACUUCGUUAAGAUUUUGAGAAAUAAAUCAAACUAAUAUUUCAAGCAUAUAAAAUGAACCAGCUUGAAUUUUCUUCUGGUAUAAAAGUAAUAUUUCUUUGUAAAUGUAUAUUUUGACAAACAUGUCCUUGUUGUGUCCAUGUCCUAGUGUUAGAAAAUGAUACGUUAUAUCGCGUUGUGUUGCAUUGUAUUCAUAUCCGUUCUUCUUAGCUUAUCAAUAGUAAUUGAAAAUUAUCUAAAUGGAAUAUUGUAUGUUUGCAAAUACAAGUGUAAACAACCCAGAGUCGCGAGCACAAGCACAGAGUAGAAAAUCACAUGGAAAGAAAGAAAAGACGAAGCAUAAUCCUAGAAAAUUGAUGUACAGCAUUGACCAUUAAUUGCAUAAAGAAUCAGAUUCAGAUUAGUUCUUUCCACCAAAAAAGAUACAAAGAGCAUGAUUUGUUGCAUUCGUAACUAGUAACUUCAAAAUGCAAACGAGAUAUCCAAAUUGGACCAUGUAAUAAAAGAAGAAAACAUAGCAGACUCAAUAAAUAUAACAAGCAAGAAUCAAGAAGACGGUAAAUUAACCAACAUCAACAAAACUCCCAAACUGAAUGUAAAAGAUAAUCAGGAAACAAGUUGAAUUAAUCAAAUGUGAUCAGAAAAGAAUCAAUCAAUCAGGAAACAAGUUUACAUUCCACAUCAAAAAGAGAGAAAAUCUUACCACAACCAAAAUUUCAGCAACACCCAGAUGCAAAACUUGAAAAUAGAAAUCAAAACUCAAUAGAAUUCAAUGAUGCAAGUAAAAAGUUGGCCUCCCCAGAAUCUGAUAAAUAAAAAGCAAUUAAACCCAAAAAGAACAAAUGGAAAUAUCAAAAUCAGCCCCCCAAAAAAAAGAAAGGGAGGAUAGGAGUGCUCACAAGUGAAUGCUAAAAGUUAGAGGGUGAUUGAUGAUGGGUUAUGGAUGGUGAAGGGGAAACUGCAAGUAAAGAAGAGAAAAUGAAUCAUGUUAAAAAUUGGAGCCACAAAAAGAAGGUGGGUAAGAAAGGGGAUCUUAAAAGGGGAAAAACCCAGAUUAAUGGGAGUGAAUCUGGGCUUCACAUGAUGAAGAAGAGGCAAAUGUGGAUGAGAGAAGCCCAAAGAAGAAGACAAUUCUUCAAAUUUGAAGAAGAAUAGGAAUACCCAUAAAUUCUUUUUCUCAAUCCUAGCCUUUGAUUCUUAUCAUCCACCAAUCUUGAGUUGAAUCCAACGCAUGCUUACGGCGGCACAGAGAGGGAAGGAGAGAAAUGUAAGAAUUUCAUUUGUCGUUCUUAGCUCGUCACCAAUUGUUAUUGGGUUUGGUCGGGAGCCCAACUUGGGAAUCAAAAACUUUAUCAAAAAUGACAAAACUUUAUUUUUAUAUUCUACUUUUUUUUUGGGAACAGUUGAUUUAUAUUUUAACCCUUCCCAAGUUCCAAUUACAAUGAAGUUCAUUCACGUGUGUCAAUCGUAACGAACAGUAAUUAAGAAGAUUUCCCAUUUUCUCAAUUCAAAUCGUAACGAAUAGUAAUUAAGAAGAUUUCCCAUUUUCUCAAUUCAAAUCGUAACGAACAGUAAUUAAGAAAAUUUCCCAUUUGCUCAGUGCAAAUUCAUGGCCUAGAAGAAGAUAGGCAGCCAUGGGAUGGGAGUCUAUGAGGAAGAAAAAAAGAAGAGGAAGGAAAUGAAAAACAACGUGGCACCAUAAGAAUGGGCCACGUGGCUGGCUGUUGAAAUUUACUCUUUUUAAAACAAAAACUAAAACAACAAUUUGAAUUUGACACUUGGGGUUGGAGCCAUUUCAGUUUAGUUGAAGAUUUUUUUUCUUCUUUUGAAAAGUUCAAUCGAUCAUUUGAAAUUCACAACAAUUAAUAAUGGACUCUGUGUUAAGGUUGUGAUUGAUGUUGAAGAGAACUGUAUCUGUGUGUUCAACAAUGGAGAUGGAGUUUGUGUCGAGGUUCAUCAGGAAAAUAAGGUUUAUGUGCCUGAGUUCAUCUUUGAGUACAUUGUGAGUUUAUAAAUAUCAAGAUCUGCCACUGUAUGAGAUCUCAAAUCAACAUCAACAUUUUCGACAUAGCCUCCAAAAUUUAUUUGAGUUCAAAGGGUAAACUAUUUUAAUUUUAAUUUGGAAAGAAAACAGCAAAACUGUAAAAUAUUAGGAAGGAAGGUAACAAAUAAGAGAAGAAAAGAUGGGCCUAGUGGAUAGAGAUAAAAGAGGCCUAUAAUUCAAGUUUUACCCACCAAAAGAAUAAGGCCCAUUAAUAGAAUAAAUAUUUAGAAAAAUCAACAUCCAAAAUUUUCCUUAAUAAAAUUUCAUGCUUUUAUGACCAUUUUAACCAUAUUUUCAUAAAUAUAUAAUAAAUAUCAUGACAUUAUAUCAGAUUUAUGUUCUAUUUUAUAACUUCCAUAAUUAACGUGGAUAUUUAUUAUAUGUUUCUGAAAAUUAAUUUUAUAACUUAAUUUUGUGAUUUAUAUUUACAUUUUCCAUGCUCUUUCAUAUAUAGAAUAUUAUAAUAACACAUAUAUUUUGAUUUUUUUUUUUUAUCAUGUAUGGAUGAAAUUACAGUAUAUUUGGAUUGUAUUUUAAACUAUUCUUUUAAAUGCAUGUUAGUUUUGUAACUAUUAUAUACCACUCUAGUAUAAUUAUAUUAUCUAAUUUAUUAUAUAUACACACAUGCAUAUUUAUAGUAAUACGUAAGUUGUGACACAUAUAGUUCUAUUAUUUUUUGUCAGUGCAUAUUCUUUUCAUUACUAUUAUUUAUCACUGUAUAUUUUAAAUAUGUUCUUUAAUAUUACCCAAUACAUCUUGCAUAUUUACAAUAAUACGUAAGUCAAAUAUACAGUUAUGUUUUCAGUUUCCGAAGCAUGAAUUAGAUAAUAUACUAUGUACAUUUAAUGUACGAAACAAUCUUUUCAGUUCACACAAUCUGAGAUAACAUUGUCUUGCACAACCAAAAUUUUACUCGUCUGCUUCAGAAGAAAUCCUAAUUUGUUCGGAGUUAAAACUCUAGAUAUUGAUUUUGUUCGAUUUCGGACUAAUAACAAUAUAAUAUGUUCAAUCUACUAAAUAUACCCUACCAUAUUUCGUAUAUGAACAUAAAUCUUUACUUACUGAAAAUAUUUGCUGAAAUAGGUUCUAAAGUUCUCUGCUUCAGCCGGCCAUCGCAAGUCAUCUUCUUUACUUCGAAAAUUUUCACACAAUUUUUUAUUGUUUGCUUCUUUCGUGAAGAAAUGAGAAUGAAAAAUGGAACUUUUAUCGAAGAAUGAAGUUUUGACUAAAAUUUGAAAAUUCCAAAACAGCUCCUUAGAAAUCCUCUUUUCACGGUUUGAUGGUCCGCCUUCCUUAUUUAUUUUUUUAUUUUUAUAUAUGUAAUUACUAAUAAGAUUGAGUGAAUUGGUCAUUUGUGACAUAUUUUUGUGUAAAAUAGAAGUCCGUUAGAACAUUACUGUAAGUUCAUACCUAUUUAGUCCUUAGUAGAUAAAAACCUAGAUAGAAUAUAGAUAUUUGUUUUUAAUUUGUUUAGAGAUUAUAUCACUAUGAUCAUUGCUUUAUUGUAUGGCCAACAUACAAUACCAUAAAAACGAUAUUCAAUUAAAAAACAAAUAUUAGAUUGCGGUCAAAAAUGAAGAAUUUUGUAUUUUGUUUAUCGAGUUUAGAAGCUUAACUAGCUAAUAUCUCACACUUUGUAGUUCAUGAGAAAGUUUUCUUUAAUACGACAAGAAAUGAAGAAUUCGACCUACAAACUUUCAAUUAAUUAACAUAUACUAUGUUAGUUGAGCAACCCUCCUGCACUAGUGUUUGUGUGAAGAUGACAUCGAAUAAUUAAUGAAAUUCUAAAUUGAAAGUAGAUAAUAAUAUUUAUAUAAAAUGUUUGUCAUUGAUAAGUACAAAUUUAAUUAAUAUUUUCGAAUGACAAACAAAUAUAUAGUUUUUUCCUUUUCCUUGGGAGGCAGAGAAUUUAAUUAAAGUCCAACAAAUUGGAAUGGACAAUGAUAGGAAUACAUGAAUUGAUUUUGUUGAAACAUAUCUAUUUUCUAUAUAUAUGUUAACUGACAAUCAGACAAAUUUAAGUAUUUCCUUUAGAAGACAUUGAAAAUCUAAUAUUCCAAAAAUAUUUUGCAUGGAUAAUAACUAUAUAUAUAAAAGGAUAUAAUUGAUUGUUGUUGAAGAGAAGCAAAUUAAAUUAAAUAUCAAUUUUCUAUUUGCAAGAUAUGGAUUAUUAUUGUAAAGCAGUAUGGUUGGUGAUAGUGAUUUUUGUUUGCUUAAAUUGUAAAUGCAGUGAAGCCUCUAACUCAAAACUUUCAAGAGAAGAAGAAUUGGAGAUUGAAGAACAUCUCAAACUUCUCAACAAGCCCUCCAUCAAAACAUAUAAGGUAGUAUAUGUACAUAUUACUUUAAAGUUUUAAGUCUACUAGUAGAUACACCCGAGCAUGUUCUUAUCAGGUAAGCAUCUUCUUACUUUGAUAUCAAUCUUAAGCAAUCAAAAGGAUUAAGAUGUAUAGUCACGUGGCGAUUUAAUUUAAUUUGUUUUCAUUAUUUGUAGAUCUAAUGUUAAAUACAUAUUAAAAAAUUUAAUUACCUUCGUAAGAAAGUAAUAUUCAUUAUUUAUUUGUAAUAUGUGGGGUGACAUGAAAUAUUUUGGUUAAGAUUAUCAUGCUUUUUAGGGUUAACUAAACUAUGUUUAAAUUGGUUACUUUAGCCUCAAUUAAAGAUUUAAGUUUGUAGUAAAGAAUUUGUUUUAGUACACGAAUUUGAACGAUUAUAGUUACUAAUACAAUCAUAUAUAUCACUUGAAUUAAUUCAAAGUUAAUAAUUAUUUGGUUAAAUUUUAAUUAUGUUCCAUUUUUAUUUGCUUCCAUACAACAUUUAAACGAUGUAAGGAAGAAAAUUUAUGCCCUAGUAAUUAUUGUUUGCAUACUCUCCAUCUCCUUGAAUUUGAGAUUUGAUCUCUCACUGUCUGUAAUCAUUUUUCUAAUGAUGAUGAUGUUUAAAAGGCAAGAGGGAUCAAAGGGUGCAUCGAGAUAUCUAACUAGGUUAACAUCUCUUUAGCAUCCUUAAUUAUCACGUUUCAAGACAUCUCGAUUAUGUUGACGCAUCUCUAGACGAGCUAGGGCUUCCCUCUAGUUUGUCUUGUACUCUUCAUUUUUUUAUUCCCAUAAUUAUCUAAAAAGAACAUCAAAUUUAUAUUUGUGUGGACUUUGAUAUUUUGAAUUUUUAGACCAAGGAAGGAGAUAUCAUUGACUGUGUCGACAUCAAUAAACAACCAGCCCUCGAUCACCCUUUAUUGAAAAAUCACAAAGUUCAGGUACAUACUUAUAUUAUGAUGUAAUUUUCAUACUAUCAAUGUUGAUUUUGUAUUAUUUAAAACCAUAUUCAAACUUAUUUUCAAAACGAUAAAAUUAAUUUUAUCGUUUUCACAAUCUCUCUAAACAUAUACCUUUAAAAUGUAACAAAUAAUAUGGUAUACACUAAUCACUCACAUGAUCUUUUAUCAUUCCACAAUCAAUUUCGAUCAUGAUAUAAUUCACACACAUUAUAAAAAUGCAAAGCCAAACAUGUGUUAGAUUGAUUUUCCACUGCAUAAUAUAAAAACAUGUUACAUAUAGAUAUAACAAUUAAGCAUAAAGUAUUAAUAGAUAUAACACAAUGCUAAAAAGAACUACAAGUGGAAAUAAAAAAAAAAGUUUAUCAACAAAACUGAUCCAUAAAGUAGCAAUAUAUGUCUCGUUUGCAUUCAAAUUAUAUAAUAUGGUUUUUUUUUCUUCACUUUCCUUUCUGUGAUAGACUCUACCAAGUGGAUAUGUAUCUAAAUUGUUCAAGAAGGAUUCAUCUCAAGCAAACAAUGGGAUAUCGACACUCCCAAGUAACAACAAUAAUGGAGAAGAAGGUUGUCCUAAUGGAUUUGUUCCAAUUAGAAGAACAUUAAAAAAAGAUCUAAUUAGGUUAAAAUCUCUAUCAUCCAACAACAAAAACCAACAAUCAUCAAUGAACCCACAAGAUGAUCAAUCUGAUGAUUUUUUCGAUGACUCUGUCAAAUUUCCUUACUAUCAAAAUGUAAGUAUCGACUUUUAAUUUCAUGUAUGAAUCGUUGUUUUUGUUUUUUUUUUUUGUUAAAUUUUAUAUAAAAAGAUAUCUAGUUUAAAAAAUAACCUAUAUAUACUUUUGAAAGUUAUUAUAAUAUAUAUUACCCUAGACCUUUCAAAAUCAUACCCAUGGGAGUACAAAAAAGUUUUUAGAAUUAAUGUUAUAAAUAUGUACUAUUCUUUUAGACUCACUUCACAUCGUUUAGGUUUGCCUGACGAGAUUUUGUUACAAUGUAACAUUGAUCUAAAUUAUAUCAUUAUUAUGGAUAAGGUGGUUUCUCAUUCUUUGGAGAAGGGUACUGAGAAAUACUAUGGAACUAAGUCAUACAUGUCUGUGUACAAUGUGAGUUUGAGUUUCGAUCAAUCUUCAUCGACUAACAUAUGGAUUGUUGGUGGCCCUGUUGACUCUCUUGGUGUACUCAUGACUGGCUGGCUGGUAAAAUUUAAAACCCCUUUAGUCUUUUUAUUUCUUUGUAAAAUUUCUAUGUAAAAACAAAAUACUCACAUUGCCAAAUUGAUUUUGAUCAAACGUUAUUGCAACACUGAGCUUUUUGAUAUAAUUGGUUGGCUGUUUUAGGUGAAUCCAGAAGUAAAUGGUGAUUUUGUCACUAGAAGCUUUGUAUAUUGGACGGUAAGUGAAUUGAAUUUUUGUUUUGUCCCAUCACAUUUACAUUAUUGUUUGUGUUAUUGAUUUGUGACUGAAUUAAUUUUCAAAGUUUUUUUUAAAAUAAGAAAACUAUAUAAUACACCUUCUUCUAAAUUGAUUUUUUUUUGGGGAUAUUAUUCUACACUUUUCUUAGAAAAUACAUGUAAAAAAAAUUGUUCUCUAGUAUUUAUUUUGUAUCUAAAUUUCAAAAUAUUAUAUUUGAAUUUAAUUAAUAUUUAGUUUCAAAGUUUCAAUAAUAUAUUACACAUUAACUACUGUUGAGUUUUAUUUAGUUCUUACCUUUCAAUAUUGUAACUUUUAUUCUUGAAUUAUUACCAUAUAUUCAUUGUUAGCGUUAACUUUUAGUUAGUUAAUCUAAAAUAAUUAUGUUGUGACAUUGAUUGAAGCAAGUAUUAGUGAAACAGUAUACUUAAAAUUGAGACCAUAGAUUAAAACAAAACUUAAAAUUAAAAACUAUAACAUUUUGAAAUCAAGAGGAAUCAAAUGAAAACAGUUAGACUAAUCGACAUAGAUUGACAUAGAGACCGAAAAUGUAUUUUUCCCCCUUAUAUAUAUAUACAUAAUAAUUAUUCAAAUCUCAUGUGUUAGUUUUAUAAAUUCAAUAUAUAUGAAAGGAGUAAAAGAGAUUUGAACCUUCGAUGUUACAAAGACGAGAGUAUAUUCAUAUCAAAUACACCGUUAAAUUAUGUCCACUUUUGAUAAUAAUAUCUUUUGCAUAUGCUUAGAUUUCAAAAUUGUAACAGGCUGACGGAGGUACUACGACAGGAUGUUAUAAUAUGUAUUGUCAAGGCUUCGUACAAGUAAAUCCAAGUCAUCAUGUAGGCGCUCCUCUUCUUCCAACCUCCACGUAUGAAGGACAACAAUAUGACUAUCAGUUCACCAUCAUUCAAGUAAUUCUCAAACAAGACCUUAAUUACAUAUGAAUCAUGCUAGCUAUUAUAUUUAUUGAUGAAUGAGUUAUAUGUUAAAUUUUGAAAUGUAGAUCGAAGGGAAUUGGUGGGUUCUGGUAGGUGAAAAUCUGGGAUUAGGAUAUUGGCCAAAGGAGUUGAUUCAAAAUCUAGUUGAUGGGGCAGAUCAAAUAGCAUGGGGAGGCAUUGCACAGCCAUCAAUAGAUGGAGUGAGCCCUAUGUUGGGGAGUGGACAUAAGCCAAAUGAAAAUGGUGAUUAUAAUGAAGGUUGUUACAUAAGAAACAUUCAAAUCAUAUCAGGUGCAGCAACAAAUACUUAUGUACUGCCAACAUGGGAUAACACACUGAGUUAUUCAAGUAACACUAGUUGUUAUGAUUUGAACCCUAAUGUGAAUUGUGGUUAUGAUAUGAUGGAAUAUUGCUUCACCUUUGGAGGACCCGGUGGACCUAAUUGUGAAGCCACCAUCUUUUAAUUACUUUCUUUAAUUUAUUCAAUCACUUCUUGUUGUCGUUCUGGCUUUAUGGAGGAUUAUUGCUUGUGUAUUAUAUAUAAAACAAAUCAUCCUUUGUGUGGAAUAAAUUUUGAGGUAUUGUCAUCUUUUUCUAUUGUUUUUCUUUUCUCUAUCAUUGUAUUGUAAGGAUAUGUUUGAGAGAAUUACUUUUACCAUUUAAUUAAAACUUUAUAUGAAAUGAUGUGUUUUUAAUAUCAAUUUAGAAACUAAUUUUGAUGAUAUGAUUUUUUUUAUUUAAAAAAGAAUGUAAAAUUUAAAAUUAAAUUUAUUUUGAGUGAUUUAAAUUCUAAAAAUGAGAAAAGUAAUUUUUACCUAUUUAAAUCAUGAUUUCAAAACUAUGUAGAUAAAAACGAAACAAAUAAAAAAUAUUGAGUCUUUGGUAUAUUUUUUUUAUAUAUACUUUCAUAAUUUUGCCCUCCUUUGAUGAAUUGGUAUUUUUUUAUAAAAGAAAUUAAGUUUAUGAAAAGAAGAUUAAAACUAUUUAUGAAAUAUAAAAAAAAAAAAAUCAAAUGAGCUAUAAAGAAUUUAAUUAUUUUAGUUCCUUGUAAAUAGUUUUAAUUUCUUUAUUAUAUUUAUUAGAGGUAAAAACUACUCAUUCGUCUAUAAAUUUAGUUGUUUAAUGUCUAAUUAAAAAAAUUAAAUAAUUUGAAAAUUAGGAAAAUGAUUACACAUAUGAUAACCAUUUGAUUUUAAUUGACUUUUAAAAAAUUAAACUUCCACAUAUGAACUAUAUGUUUUUUUUUUUAUCUGAAAAAAUUUUAAAACUCAACUAAUUUAAACUGAAAUGAAACUAUUUACAAAAUAUCGUAAACAAAAUCUUAAUAGGCUACAGAGAAUUUGAUACAUGCUUCACAAACCAAUAUGAAUUUUUUCAAUAAGUAAGUCACCCAUCAUAGAAUUAUUUCAGGCUAAGCUCAAACCACUAAAAAAGAAAGUAUACCUUGUUCGUAUAUGUAAUAAUUUUUUAUAUAAUUUUUUUAAAUAUUUUUUAAUCUUACUUUCAAGUUAUCAUAAUUCAUCCCAUUUAAAUGUGGUAUCUGUUCAUCCAUGUCUCCUUUUAAACUCAGGACAUUUAAUUUAUAUUUGAUUAAUGUUUUGGAUAUACGGAUGCUAUAUUUGGCCGAUACUUGAUGAAAAUAAAUAUAUUUCUUAUUUGUAAGCACAAAUUUAAUAUUUUUCAUUAACAAAAUCAGUAGAAGUUGUUUUUCCUUUUAUUGGGAGCAUAAAAUUAAAAGUCUAACAAUUAAUUUGCAUGGACAAUGAUAGAAAAAGAUGAAGAAAUUAAACAAAUCUAUUUUCUAUUUGAAGAAACUAUAUAUUUGUUAAAUGGAUAUAUGAUCACACAAAAUAGAGUAUUUCCUUUAGAAGGCAAACAAAUUAAUUAUAACGUACUCCCAACAAUAAUACAUUUUUGCAUGAUUUAAUAAUUAUGAUAUAAAAAGAAGAAAACUAAAACAAAUCAAUUUGUAUUAUUAAUUACAAGAUGGAUUAUUAUUAUUCUAAAGCAACAUGUUUGGUGAUAGUGUUCUUUGUUUGUUUCAAUUGCAAAUUCAAUCAUGCCUCUAACCCUAAUCUUUCAAGAGAAGAAGACUUGGAGAUUGAAAGACAACUCAAACUUCUCAAUAAACCAUUCAUCAAAACAUACAAGGUAAGCUAUAUAUACCUACAUACACUCUUAAUUGAAAUCUUGAAUCGAGAUUCGAUAAUUUCAUUAUACUUUAUAUAUUAAUUAAAAUUCUUUUUGUUUUCGAUUAUGCACAAGUGAAGAUUAAUAAUAAAUAAUUUAAGAGAAAUGAACUACGAUGUUUCUUGCUUAAUAGACGAAGGAAGGAGAUAUCAUUGAUUGUGUCGACAUCAACAAACAACCUGCCCUCGAUCAUCCUUUACUAAAGAAUCACAAAGUUCAGGUACAUACUCGUAUUUGUGAUAUCUGUUAUAUUUCGUGUUUUUCUAUUUUCAAUUUCAACUUUCAUUACAUUUUAAUUAGGAAAAUUUCCAGAAGAAAAAAAAGAACAAAGAAAAAUUUUGUUUACAAUGUUUUUAGGGAAAUUCUUAUAGAUAGAAAAAAAAUUGAAACUAUUUACCUAACAUACCUAUAAAAAACUAAAAUGGGGUGAGAAGAAUUUGAUUGAUUUUGGUGUGUUUUAUAAAUAGUUUUAAUUUUUUUUGUUUUUUUUUUCUAUUUUUGAAAAAAAAUCCUUUUAAUAUGUUUGGAGAGAUCUUGAAAUAGUUAAAGUCAUUAAUAUUAUAUUAAAAAAAAAUAAAACAUGAUUUUGAUUAUUUUAAUUAAACAGUUAAAUUAAAUUUUGAAAAGUAAAAAGCAUGAUUUAGAAUAAUUUUUAAUGGAGCAAGAUUAAAAGUGAUUUUUCAGAAUUACUCUCAGGUAUCAAUCAUGUAUUCUCUAUACAAAUUAAAGAAAUUGAUUAACAAUAUUAUUCAGUAUUGACAAAUAGAAAAUGUAAUUAGGUCACUAAAACCAUCUUUUUAAAGUUAAAAUCUUUAUAUAUAUAUAAUUGUUUAGACUAUCAUUUACGUUUUAGAAAUGUUUUCAAAAACUAAACCAAAAUUUUAUAACUAGAAAAAGUAAUUUAUUGAAAUUUGUUUUAAUUUUUAAAAUGGACUAAAAAUUCAAUUAUUUUACUUAAGAAAAAUGCAAAAUAUUGUAAGAAAAUAGAGAGAAAUUAGUUUUAAUUUUUAAAAAUCAAAGUCCUAGUUUUUUGUUUUAAAAAAUUGUCUUUAUUUUUAAAAAAAUUACGUCUUUCUUAAUGAGACAUUUGAAUUUUUAACCUAAUAUGAAAACAAAAUUAAAUUUUUGAAAAAAAAUGUACAUAAAUUGUUAAAAUAUUGCUAGAAAAUAGAUAAUAAUAAUAAUAAUAAUAAAACUAUAAGCAUAGCAAAUAUUAUGUCUUGAUUUGCAUUCAAAUUAUAUUAUGGUUUUUUUGUCUUAUCAUUUUUGUUUUGUGAUGAUAGACUCUGCCAAGUGAAUUUGUAUCUAAAUUGUUCAAAGAAGAUUCGUCUCAAUCAAACAAUGGGAUACUCACAAGUAAUAACAACAAUGGAGAAGGUUGUCCUGUUGGAUUUGUUCCUAUUAGAAGAACAUUGAAAGAAGAUCUAAUUAGGUUAAAAUCUCUAUCAUCCAACAGCAAAAACCAACAAUCAUCGAUGAAUCCAGAAGAUGAUGAUCUAUCUGGUGAUUCUUUUUACGACGCCGUCAGAUUUCCUUACUAUCAAAAUGUAAGUAUCCGGAUCUUUUAAUUUCUUGUAUGAUUUGUUUCUAUUUUUUUGGCUAAAUUUUAUUUGUAAAGAUACAUACCUUUGAAUUUUAUUCAUGUUUUAAAAGUUACAAUAUUAUUCUUAAUAAUCCUUCAUAUGCUUUUUAAAAUUACUAUCCUUAAAACUAGAUAAUUGUUAGAUAUCGUCACUAAAAGUAAAUAUGUUUGAAAGUACGUACCAUUCUUUUCAAACUUCACAACCCCAUCAAGCGUCUUAGUUACGUCACUUCCAAAUCGUUCUAGGUUUGUAUUUCAAGAAUAGUUUUGAAACGUUGCAACUUCGGAAAGAAUAAUAUCAUUUUUUAAAAAAAGUAAAGAGUAAAGUUUAAGAUAUGUUGUUAUAGGUUAAGUAUGAUGAAGGACUGUGGUUUCAACGGGUUAUUAUUCAAAACUAACCCUAAUCAUCGAAAAGAAUAAUGCAUAUAUAGUAUUUUGUUAUAUAUAUAGUUGCUAACAUUUGUAUAAAUUGUGAUUAUUAUGGAAAGGUUGUUUCUCAUUCGUUGAUAAAAGCACAAUAUUAUCAUGGAGCCAAAGCUCGAAUUGCUGUGCACAAUGUGAGUUUGAGUGACAAUGGUCAAUCUUCUUCGGCUAACAUAUGGGUUCUUGGUGGCUCUGAUGAUUCUCUUAAUGUUCUUAUGGCUGGUUGGCAGGUAUACACAUCUUUCAUUUUCCAUUUUAACUUUGUCAAAUUCUCUUCUUCUUUUGUUCUCUCUAUGCAAUUCAAUAUUGGAACUUUUAUGUGAAUAAGUUAAUUUAUUUGAUAAUUAUUGGGCGUUUUUUAAAGUUAAGUUUAUGAAUUAAUACUGGUUAUAAUUAGAUAAAUUUAAAGUUUUCAAUUUCAAAACUAAUUGAAUAACAAGAGAAAAGUUGUUUAUAUAUAUAUAUAUUUUGUAGGAAUCGGGGAAAAGGUGAGAAAUUCAACUAAACAUUUUUUAGAUCAUAUAUAAAUAAUUUGAUAGGUGUAAGUAUUUACUUUAUUGUGAAAUUUGAGUAAUUUUUUUCAACAAAUUUAGAUUGUCGAGAUUGGAUGAAUCAUAUAAAAAAAGUUAGUAAGAAGAUUUUUAUUAAAAUCUCUUAGCAGUCAUGAUCGAAAGGAGUUUGCAAGAAUAGCAUAAUGAUAUAUGAUAAUAGAGUCCAUGUCACAUACAAUUUUUAAAUUGUAAAAAUGACAAAUUUAAAAGCAGAUUACUGUAUAAGAUUAUCGCCAAUUAUUAGUCAUAUUGACCAAAUUUGCAAUAUGAAAAAAAAAAUGUAAUAUUAACGGUUUCUUUUCUAUUUUUUUUAUCUGACAAUUUUCCAUUUAUUUAAGUUAAUUUACCUUUCAAACAAACAAAAUGGGAAGUCAAAUUUUAAAAAUAAAAAACUAGAAACAUGAUUGUUAUCAAAGGAUGAAAUAAUUACAAUAAUUACAACUUUUUUAUAACUUAUACUACUAAAAUUUAAUGAGGAUUUUCUUUUUUUUGCAUUUUAGGUGAAUCCAGCUGUAAAUGGUGAUAAUCUCCCUCGAACCUUCGUGUAUUGGACGGUAAGUGCACGAAUAUUUUUUUCAUCAUAGUUUCAUUAUUAUUAGUCUAAUCAAAUUGUGACUAUUAUUGAACUAGAAAUUUUGAACCAAUUAUCAAUUGUCUUUGUUUAUCAAAUUAAUGAGAGAGAAAAUAUAAAUAAUUGAGUUUGAGACUAAUUAAAAGUUGGAAUGUGUGAAUACAUAACCUAGCAAAUUCUAACAACGCCUUGUGUUUUUAUCAUGAUUAUUUUGGUCAAAUUAAAAAUUAUUUAUUUGAUCUAAAGUUCAAUUAGACAAAAAAAAUAAAAAAUUAUUAAACCAAAAUGCAAAAUGCUAAUCAUGGAUCAACCAAGCCCAAAACCUUGAAACCCAUUAGAGAGAAUUUUAGAAAUUUUUACUCCAAAAGGCUAGAGAGAAUUCUUCCAACAACCAUAAGAUAUUCUUCGACACAUGUUUGCUCCCUCAAAUCAAGUAUACACAUUUGAAAGUUUUCUUAAAACACAAUUAAUUACAAAUUAUAUAAUAUACAACUUCUUUUUUUCUUUAGGUUUUGUUAGUCAAAUUUUUGCUUCAUCUCUCUAACUCUAAGUUUUGAGUUUAGUUUCUAUUUGGUUACUAAAUUUCAAUAGUAUAUUACAUUAUUACUGUUGUAAUAGGUUGACACAGGUGUUACAACAGGAUGUUACAAUAUGCUAUGUCAAGGAUUCGUGUUGGUAAAUCCAAAUAUUCACGUAGGCAGUAGUAUUCUUCCAGCCUCCAUCUAUCAAGGACAACAAUAUGACUAUCAAUUUAGUAUCGUCCAGGUAAUGCAAUUAUUUUCAAACGAUAGCUCAUACACAUUCAACAUAUUUUCAUUUACAUUAUUUGCAUGAAAAAUGUCGAUAUCAAGAUCUAAAUAGAUGCUAUGGAAAUAUGAAAGUAGUAUAAAAAAUUUGGAGAUUGAUGAAUAGUUUCAAGAAAUCAUUAGAGAAUUUAUAUAUAAAAGAAAAUUUUAAAUUUAACAAAAUUGUAUUUCAUCUUUAUUAAAGUAAUUAAGUUCAAAUUUAUCUAUAAUAUUAAAUUAUAAAUUUAGUUCAUAAACUCAGGAGAGAUUAUAUCUAUUUGAUUCUUAAUUCUUUCUAAAAAUUUUAAGAACAGUUAGAUAAUACAAUUGAAAAUUUAUAGUUCUAAUUAGACACUAUAUUCCAAUUUAUAUCUAGGCUAAUUAAUUUAAUUUAUAUCUUAUCAGGCACAAAAAAUAUAUGUUAAAAGUUAAUAACCUAUUAUUUUAAUCUAAUAUACAUUAUUAGGCUCGUAUUUGUGAUAUUUUGUUCAUAUAGUCACUCAUACGUUUAAAUAUCAAUCCAUUUGCUUCAUUUUGGUGGAUGUUCUUUCAAAAUAUUAAAAUUUUGAUCUUUUGAACUUUUAAGAAUAAUCAUUUUUGAAAAAGAUAUAUAAAAAUAAAGGAAUAAAGUUUUGAACCUUUUUAUGGAAAAUGAAUUCAUUUUUUUUACGUUUCUUCUGAUCUCCUCUAGCUUCUCUCUUUAAAUUAAUCGUUUUUAUGGAAAGAAAUCUUUGGAGCUAGGGUGUGAUUAGUGUAUCAACUUAGUUGAAAUAUUUUGGUACAUCUAUUAACUCCUCACCUCCUACGUAUCUUUCUCUAAAAGAUAAACCAAAAUAAAAAUAUAGAUAUUAAACCAAUAUUCAAAUGAUCUUAAAUUCAUUUUACGUUACCAUAAAUUUUCUAUAAUACAAUUCAAAUGUGUUGACACUAUCUCUCUAUAUAUUAAUAUAGAACCUAUACAGACAUAUCGAAAGAAAUUUAAUAUUGCAAUCAUACGUAAAUUACAUGUAGAGUAAUUAUAACUAGAGAUAGCAAUUUAAGGGAUAAUAAUCAAGUGUAGAACAAUAUAUAUGUAAAAAAAUUCUAUAGCUGAUAGACUACACCGAUAUACAAGUUUAUCAACGAACAAUAUAUGCUAAUAUUUUGAUUCUAAUUGUUGUAUUUUGGUAUUAUUGUCGGUUACACAUGUAUUUGUUUGAUAUGUAGGCUAUAGGGCAUUGGUGGGUUCGAGUAGGUGAUAACCAAGUGGGAUUAGGAUAUUGGCCAAACGAGUUGUUUCCAAAUCUACUUAGGGGGGCAGAUCAAGUUGCAUGGGGAGGCAGUGCACAGCCUACACUAUAUGGUGAUGAAAGCCCUCCAUUGGGAAGUGGGCACAAGCCAAAUGGUAAACCCGAUGAAGCCAUUUUCGUUAGGAACAUACAAUACAUAGCACCUAACUACAUACUCUCAAUACCCACUUUGAACAACACAAUAAAUUAUGUGAGUAACUCUUCCUGUUAUGAUUUGAUCUCUAAUGAGAAUUGUAGUUUUGAUCCCUUCAAAUAUUGCUUCACUUUUGGAGGCCCAGGUGGGCAUGGUUGUGAAGCCUCUACUACUUAAAACAUGUCGUGUUAUGUUAUUGACUAUGUAAUAAAUUUUAAGGUGUAUUCACCUUUUAUUUUUUUCCCCUUCAUUUGGUUUUCCUUGUAGGCUACUGAUUGUCUGUUGUCAAUUAGAAUUGAAUCAAUUUGUUUGCUUUUUUUUUUUUUCUUAAUAUAGUUAGGUUACAUUGUUGUUUCAUGGUUGGUUUUUUUGGAAAUUAAAUUUAUAUUAUAGGUUAUGAUGACGAUUUAAAAUUGGCAUCUAAAUGUUGAUAUAUGUAGUGAUUUUAAAGUCUUUCUUUAACUAUACAUUCAUAUACUUGGGAUAUCUAUUUUAUUCAAAUGUGAUAUUGACGUGGUAAUCAAAUUAAAUCUAAUAACACAAGUCAAAAUUUAAAUAUUAGUUUGUAUAUAUCGAAUAAUUGAAUGUGAAACAAGUCGAUUUGUGACGGAAUAAUUUAGAUGAGAGAGUGUUACCAACUUGAUAGAAUUGUUAUUUCGAAUAAGAAAAUUGUGAAAGUUGAAGCCAAAAACUAGACUCUUGAAAAAAUGGGAGUUAAUUGGAUGAGGUUGUGGUUAGCCAAAGAUGAGGUUGGAUGCAACCAUGAUUGUAUGAUGAAUGGAACAUGGUAGGAGUUAUUUGGGUGAGGAACCAACCUUUUCAACUUCAACAACAAACCUUUAUAUAAUUAAAAUACUCUGGAAUUGAUUAAUUUGACUGGUAGAGAGUUUUGAUUAGGAUAAAUUUUGUAAUUUACAUUGGCUUGGGAGGGUAAAUAAUUGAAGCCAAAUUGAUAGAAGAACAAAAUCAAGAAGAAAACAAAAAGAAAGAAAAGAGAGAAAAAGAAGAAUAAACUAAAACCCUAAAAAACAAAACCCAUUUCGCGGUUCUCUUUCUCUUUCUCCUUCCCAUUUCCCGUGUCUGUUCAGUCGUCACUCGUCACUGAUCGAACAAAGCAAAUACGCAAAUUCACAACACGAAUCACUGAACCCAUCAAUUUCCCAUUUCCAUUCUUCCCUCAACAAUCAACCCAGAACAAGAAGACACACCAAGAACAACCACAACAAGAAGAAAGGGAUCUCCUUUCUUCCCACAUUCCCUUAAUCUGAUUUUGCCCCCCAAAAUGGAUUCACGGGAGAGGUCGAUGCCUUCUGUUCAUCAACAUCAUCAACAAUCAACUCCACCCAACAGGAUGAUCCCCAACAACGCUUCUUAUUCCGCUAAUAUGCCCAAUUCCAACAAUACUUCCCCUUUGAUCAACCCCAAUUCCGCUGCUGCUCAAAUGAUGUCUUCCGCUUCCCGAUUUCCCUUCAACUCCAUGAUGGGUUCCUCUUCUAAGCCUUCCGAAUCUCCCAAUGCAGCUUCUUAUGAUGGAUCGCAGUCUGAAUUGCGCACUGGUGGCUUUAACAUUGAUUCUGGGAAGAAGAAGAGAGGCCGUCCCAGGAAGUAUUCUCCUGAUGGGAAUAUCGCCUUGGGUUUAUCACCAACCCCCAUCACUUCUUCCGCCGUUCCUGCCGAUUCCGCCGGCAUGCACUCCCCAGAUCCUCGCCCUAAGAAGAACAGGGGACGGCCGCCCGGUACAGGGAAGAGGCAAAUGGAUGCUUUGGGUACUUAUCUUUAUGCCUUUCUUCCUUCUUCUUGUUUUUCUUUCUUUAUGCCUUGUGUAAUGGUGUGUUAUCCUGGGGGACAGGGACCGGCGGUGUUGGUUUUACUCCUCAUGUCAUUCUUGUGAAACCAGGAGAGGUAAAGAAAUUUGCUUUCUUUUGUAUAUAUUAUGAUGCUGCUGAAUUUGAUUUGAUGUUAUUCUGUUUUUUUUUUUUAAAAAAUUUAUUUUCUAUUCAAUGGUAUUCAAUUCUUGUAGUCGAUUGCUUGGGCUUCUAUGAGUAAUUCAUUAAAUGAAGUGAGGUGGGAGCUUGUUGAUUUAAGAUUAGAUAUUGAGAUUCUACAACAUUGGCUGAUGGACCUUAACUCCUUUCCUUGAGAAUGUGGUUGUGUAAAUCUGUGUGUUAUAUAUGUAUGUUUCAUUCAUUGAUGUUCCCUGGGGGUGGUAUUUGUUAUCUCUCCCUUGUGGUAGCACUUGUACUGCCAUACAGUUACUCGUCUUGAUAGAAAGAGAAGAAAAGAGAAAGGAACCCAAAUUAGAAAGAUGAGAAAGAAUUUGAGUAGAGUAUAGUUGGUGUUUAAUAAAAGGAAAGAAUGCAUCACAAGGCAAAGAGUUGUGAACCUGUUUUUGUGGAAAAUAGAUAACACAAUCUUUAUUCUUUUCAUAAAAAUGUAAAUGCCUCAAUGUCAUAAGAUCGAUUCUGGUGGUUUACAUUUUCUCUUACUUUGAAGAGUACAAAGCCCCUAAGAAUCCUUCAAUUGUAAGUUUAGAUGUCAAUGAAGUGAAGGUAAGAGAUAAGGAGAGUAAUAUUGUCACGGUUUUGAAUUAGAUGCUUAAAAUUGGGAUUUUUUCCCCCGCAAAUUCCUUCAACACUUUUUUGGGCUUUUGUUUAGUACUUUUGAUAUUUCAGUGGAUAGUUUUUGUUUCCUAUUAAAAGGUUCUCCAACAUUUGAAUGUUUUCUUCAUCCUUAUUCCUACAAAAGGUUUGUGUUAGCAAGUUUCAGUGAUAAUUGAUUCAAAUAAGUAGUGAACUGUGCUGUGAUUUCUAGAACUGGCCAUACUUGCAUUAUUGAGCUAAAUUGGUUGUAGCUGAAUUCAAGAUAAGAACUUUAGCUAUUUCACUCUAUUAUGUGGUCUUAGGAAACUAUUCAAAUAGCUUUGUGAGAACAGAAUUUCCGCAAAAACUGAAACAUAACCCAAUUGUUCUCACUUCUAAAUCUGAUUCAUCAAAUUCCUGUCUAGAUCUAGCUUUUCCUACAAUAACAUCAGAUUUUUUGUUUGUAAAGGAAACCCAUUGGAAUUCUUUUGAUAGAUGCGAAAAAGUUUUUAUAUAUAUGUAUUGUCAAACUGUUGUAUUGUUCAUUUCAAAGUGUAGUUCAUGUUUCUUUUUUGCUUUUGCAUUAAAUUGAAUCCAAUAUUCACCGAUUUGUAAAGUUCAGUGUUGUGAUUUCUCGUCACUUUUAAGAUCUAAUGUUAAUAGUUGAUUGUCCAAAGUCAAAGCCGUUUGCUAAGCCUGGAUUCAGAGUGGAGCUUUGUUAUGAACUGUAAACGUCGAUGGGAGAUCUGUUUUGAUUGAAAUUAGGCUUAAUCAUUAGAAGCUGCUUCUGUGGAGACACUUCAUCACUCAACUGCCUCUUAAAUUGGUGUCUGCAAGAUUUUUUUACAUUUUAGAGUUUAGAAUUUUGUGGUGCAAGGGAGGAGGGUAGUUAAUUAGUUGGAGGGAUUCUGAUUGGUUAGGAAAUCGAAAAAUGUCUAUCCUUCAAGGAGCUUUCAGGAACUUUCUAGUUCAAUUUGGUUUGGUUCUAUUUCUUGGUUUGUUUGGCUAAAUUUGGCUUUUCCAUUUACCAUAGAGAUCAUUCUUACUUGGCACAUCAACAAAGCUAUUUGGCAUCAAAGUACCACAAGAAAGUGAAAUUCUUUCCCUGAUAUCUGACUCUUCAUGAGUUAAGCACUACUGAUAAGAUAUCUUUCGCUUGUGUCGUCCUUAUCACCUACUGGUUUUAUUUUGUGGUAGGAUGUUUUUGAGAAUGCUCCGUUUGUUUGUUUUGGAUGAUAAAUCUAAAUGUAGGGAAAAUCUGUGUAAACUAUUUAGUUUGUUUUGGUUGCAGACUUCCCCUUGUUAAUAUCCACCAUUUGUUCUCUAAGGAGGAACCCCUUUGAAAGAGAACUAAAGCAUUGUGAUUGUGCGUGAUUAAAGUUAUUUGAGCAAAAUAGAAACUGAGAAUUUUUCGAAAAGCAGUAAAAACUGGGAGGGAUAUCUGAGAAGAAACUAAAACUGGGAGUUUCUUCUGGUGUUCUCUGCUUUAGAUUGUAAUCCCUUCUUUUGCUCUUUUAAUGUUUGAAAAAAUGAAUAUUUCUUUAAACGUUUAUCAAAAUUGAUCUGUUGAAGAAAGGCAAGGAAGGUAAGGCCUUCAAGCUUUUUUUGUCGAUCAGCUUUAAAUUUUUUAUGAUUUUAUCUGUAAUACUUAUCAAGUAUGAAGAUCCAUCUUAAGUCGUAACAUAUUGUUUGAUAAUCUAGUAAUGUCAUUUGAAAAAAAUUGCUCUUUUUUAAUUUUUGGAUGGUCGUGAGUGCUUGGGCAAGCUUGCACACGCGUCCACAUUGUUUCGAUGACAAAUUUGAAGAUCUUACCGGAUGCCUUAUUUCCCUCCCCGUUGUUCUUUAUAGGAAUGAAUUUUGUGGUUUCCUCUUACGAAAGCCUAUGGUACUAUCUAGCGGGCUUUAGUUAAUUGAAAUGAUGGUGUUUCACUUUUAAGACUGAUAGGAUCAUUCAUAAAUAUACUUUUUGAAUACAGAAUUUAAAAACAUUUACAAUAAUAAUAUUUUGCAUUUACAAUAAUAUUCUUUUGGGUGUGGUCAGAGAGACAUUCGAGCUAUGAUAGAGGAGUUCCUCCUUCAUCUGCCAUUCAGAGAUAGGUUUGCUGGGUGUGUGCAAUUAUUUGGGAUAUUUGGGGGAAGAGGAGUGAUAGAGAUUUUAGAGGGAAGGAUAGGGAUCCUUGUAAGGUCUGGUCUUUGGUAAGAUUUCAUGUCUCAAUUUGGGUUUUGGUUGCAAAGCUUUUUUGUAAUUAUUCGGUAGGAAACGUCUCCCUCAGUUGGAUCCCUUUCCUUUAGUGAGGUUUUUUUUGGCUUGUUUUUUGUGUGUUCUUUCAUUUUUUUUUCUCAAUGAAACUUGUUGUUUCUAUCAAAAAAAAUAUUUCGGGCAUUUUCUGCUCUUGACCUUUCCUGGUAUAGAGUAGGAUUUAGUUUUCCAUGGUACAGACAUGUGCUAUUGAAUGUGUUUUCAUACUUUACUCCCUUCCUUAAUAUGCAUAUGGAUUUAUAAGUCUGAACCUUAAUCGAUGCCUGUUUCAAAAAGUGGCUUCUCAUUGUUUUGCAGGACAUUGCCUCAAAAGUUAUGGCAUUUUCACAGCAGGGGCCACGGACUGUUUGUAUUCUCUCUGCCCAUGGGGCUGUCUGCAACGUUACCCUUCAACCUGCAUUGUCAUCUGGUAGUGUGUCAUACGAGGCAAGUUCUUAAUUUUCCUGAGUUGACUUUGGAGAACUGUAGCCAGCAAGUGAUGUCGGACUUACUAUUAUUUACUGUACAUUCUAACGCAUCAACUUCCAAAACAUAGAAGGAUCCAUGUGAGAGUUUUGCGCAAGCUUAUGAGAACACACGUCAUUUUCUUGUUUAUUAUUGCUGGUCACCCCUCCUCUACUCUUGAUGUUGGUUUUCCUUUGGAGCGUGAGGGUCACUUUACGUCAAAUGCUUGUACAUUGUAGCUCAGGCUAGCUAUUCCAUUCCUGCAUGUACUAUCUGCCUCUCUUAACCUUCUUGGCGUUUUACCAUCUUUUUUCUGCUUAUUUUCAUUUGUUAAACGUCUGUUUGUUUUGCCUUUCUAUUUAAUAGGGUUACCCUUUGCCCUGUACUAUGGUGAUGAAAGGUAAAGCUCUGGGGUUUUGCAAACAUCCGUAUUUCUAUGAACUAUAUAGAGAAGACAGACAGUUUCUUGUAAACAGUUCCUUGUGAAUUUUUAAAUGGGUUGAUUAUUUCCAAGUGAAAGAAUGGAACGUGGUGAUAACUUAAUUUAUCAGUCCUAAACUUGGAAGUAGCUUGCUCCAAUACAUAGUGAGUCCAUGGAUUUGGUGAUCCCUGACCGGCGGUUCAUGCUUAUCUACAUGGAGGUUAUGGUAGUCUCCUCAAUUUUUAAGAUGCCUGGUGCUAGUACUUGUAAUGUAUUUCAUCCGUUUCUUCUCAGCCUCUAAAAGAAGAGAAAGGUAGCAUUGAUCAUUAAGGAUUUUACCCUUGUGCCUAAAGGUGUGACCCAAAAAUUCUAUGGAGAAGGAUCUCAAGGAUGUAAAAAAUUUUAAGUAACUAGCUAUAUCAAGAGUGUACAUUCCUUUUCAGUGAUUCAUUCCUAAGAUCUUUGAACUUAACUUGGAACAAUCUUAUGCUAGGUGAACUCCUGGAAAUUUUCCUUGGAAGGAUAUGAGUGGGGUGGGGACAAAGCAUGCUGAAACUAUUCAUUCUGGUUUGUGAAGGUAUUUUUCACUCUUGGAAGCUCUUCAACACAAACAAAAUGACGUAGUCAGAUUGUGGAAAUGCCCAGGUAAUUAGAUGUCCAAUCCAAAUCCAUGAUCUGAAUCUUGGGCUUUGAGUGUUUUUUUUUAAAAAAAGAUAUUGAAAAAUAGAGAGACAAAGUUCAAUGUACAUGAGGGUUAUACAUGGGGAUUAGCAGGCGCACCCGAACAUCUCAACUAGGUUGUCACCUUCUUAGCGCCCUCAUCACAUCCAAAAAGUGAAAAUAAAAUCCUUAUACUAGCGCCCUUAUCACUUGGGCUUGGGGUGUUAUAGUUGGAGUAAGGAUCCUCUGGGUUUUUGGGAGCACAUCAAAGAGAGAUCGAAGGUAGAAGUGAAGUUGUAUUGCAGUAGCAAUGGGGCAGGUCACAAACGUUGGUUAUUUCUACUCUUGUUCUUGCCUAGCACACAUGAUUGAUUAGUAGUUGACAGUAAAGUUAUGGUUCCUCUAUUUUUGGCCUUGGGUAUUAAGUUUACUUUAGUACAAUAAUCGAGCAAAGCCUUUGAUCUUCUAAGGAUAUUAGUAUCUAACUGACAUUUUAUACUUAAUUGGAAGGAUGGUUUCUUGGUGACAAAAUGGAGCGGCCACAUAACAUCUUGCUUGGCUUUCUUAGUAUAGGAGUCAUUCCAAUUUCACUUGCAGCAGUGAAGGACUUUAGAUUGUAUGACAGUAUCUCAAGGAGAGAGACUAACAAGUGACCAUGUACCAAUAGAAUUUUAGAGCCAAACUAUUUAACUUGAGGCAAUUUAAGGCAGGAUUCAAUAAUGAGAUCCAUGAGGGACAUCCACUGCCAUUUCUCGGUUACUCAACUAAAGUUUUUUCUUUGGAGAGUAUUUAUUUUCUUUUAUAGAUCAAAUCUUAGAUAGAGGCAAACUAUGGCACUACAAAAGUUCUUUCUUAAUUUAAAAAGUACAAGAAUUAAAUUUUUUUGAUGAAGCAAACUGCUUUCAUUGAGAAAGAAUGAAAGAAUACAAAGACUUACAAAAAAAAAAAAAACCAGAAAAAACACCCCAACUAGCAUAAGGGGGACCAACUAAGUACAAUAAUUAAAUUUUGAACUCCAUUUUGACUGAGCUCCAAAAAGAGGCCACAACUUCUUUUGGGUUUAAAAAUCCAAUAUUGUUUUUUUGUUAGAAAAAAUUACUUCAUCCUUUUCUAGUCUCCCAUCAGGUAAUCACCAUUGGAUUGUUAAUGUAACAAUUGUGCUGCAGAGAUGAUCUGUGUUAGAUGUUGAACAUUUACCAUCCCUUGAUUUUUUUUUUUUCUGAAAAGAAGACAAGUUUCUUUAUUAUAAAUAAACUCAAAGUACAAGGGAGCUAUACAAUGAGAAUAAUACGGAAGCCAAGAAAUGGAGGAGAGAGAUAGAGAAUCAAUAGAUGCACCCAGACAUUUCAACUAGGUUGACACCCCCCAUAGCAUCCUCAUCAUAUCCAAAAUACAAAGAACAAGAACAAUACUAAGGUCAUGAAAAGACCAAAGUAACAACCUAAAUAACAACAGAAGCUACCUACGGUAGACAAAAGUAAGGCUGAAAAGUAAAAACAUAACGGUAGAAAUACAUAUUAAAGCCCAUCCAAACUUCAGAAGCACUAAUUCUGAAAUGGCAAUCGUGGGAAACUACAUUGAAUCUUAUCAGAUGAAGGCGGUCCAAUUGAGGCAGAUGUCCUGUAUGGAGAAAUCUUUGAAUUUUGCAUUUGAAGAACACCAAGCUGCUGUGUUUCUUUUAGAAAUCUCUACGAUGUCAACCCAAUCCCUUUUUUUUUUAUCAUGGAAGAUGCAUUGGUUAUGUUCAAACCAAAUCUCAGCUAGAAGCCCUUUUAUCAAAUUAACCCAAAUUAGAAAAGGUGCUUUUGUUGACUGGUAAUAAUGCCAUGCUUAGAAUAUUUGAAUGCAAGAAACAGCAAAAUGUUUCAAUUGAUUGAUAUGCUUAGGGAUGAGCUUCAAGACUGAUAUUCAUGUAGGCUGGUGUAUUUUUUUAAACUCUUUUGCAAUUAUUCUAUUUCUUAUUGCCAAUUGGUAAGCUUUUCAUAUUCUAUUGGGUUGAUUGUGAGGGUUUUAAUUCUUUGCACAUCCCGAUUGAAGAAAGAAAUUAAAAAGCAAAUUUCUCUGCGAAGUUCUUUUUUAAUGAGCAUAAGCAUUUAUUCUGCAUCACUAGAACCUCAAAAAGUUUUUAUUGGUUGUGCUGACUCAUUAUUCCUGAAACAGCUGGAGGAAAAAGAACCUAUUCUAGCUGUAGUCUACACCAACCUUUAAAAAAAUCUGUUGAUGUUCUUGAUUCAUUAGCCUGAAAAACUAAGGGAAAAGAUCUAUUCUAGCUGUAUUAUUUCCUUUGUACACAAGAUAUCACCAAUUCUAUCGCUUUUAAAUCUUAUGCAGGGCCGCUAUGAAAUCAUAUCUCUAUCAGGUUCCUUUUUGAUUUCUGAAAAUAAUGGUAAUCGGAGUCGAAGUGGUGGUUUAAGUGUGUCUCUAGCAAGUGCAGAUGGACAAGUUCUUGGUGGAAUUACCAACAUGCUAACGGCAGCAUCGACAGUUCAGGUACUAACCUUCCCUACUGUCUACAAGAAAGUUGGUUGUCUUAGCUUGACAUAGUGCUGUUGAUACUUCCCAUUUUGGAUGGGUUGAAUGUUCUUUGCUUGGUUUCAAGCUUAUCUGCUAAUGUAAAAUUUGACAAUACCAGAGGAGAAACAAAAGUAAGUUGGUUUUUAUGCCUUAAAUCAUGUCUUUUGUGCAAAAUCAGGUUAUAGUCGGUAGCUUUCUCGUGGAUGGAAAAAAGCUAGGAGCAAGUAUACAGAAAUCUGGGCCGUCGUCUACGUCCCCCAAUAUGUUAAACUUUGGUACACCCGUGGCUGCAGGCUGCCCCUCUGAAGGUGCAUCAAAUAAUUCAUCCGACGACAAUGGUGGUAGCCCUUUAAGCCGAGGGCCUGGAAUGUACACCAAUGCGAACCAACCAAUUCAUAAUAUGCAGAUGUAUCAACAAUUAUGGGCUAGCCGAAAUCAAUAAUGAAGCUGCUUUGCUCAACUUAACAGUGUAGUGCAUUGGGUGUCGAAGUGGUUAGUGUUUUGCAUCCCGAUGUAUAGAGGUUAGUUCUGGAUUCUGUCCCUAACAUCCAUUGCGCAAACCCCGUAUCAUAACUUUUCUAGAUUAGAUUCUCUAUUGAUCUUUUAGCUGCUGGUUAGCUUUUUUCUAGUCUGUCCAAAUUGUCUACUUGAACAUUUAUCCAUGAAUGCGGAAUUUCUGAAGAUUGUGGUAAAUUGUAUCGAUUGGGAUGUCAUUAUUAAAAACUAAGAAGGGUAAAUUUUCUACUCUCCUCUCUUAAUUAGGGACAAAAUCAAACGUAUCCAAAUAUGGAUUGUCGAAUCCGUAGUCAGUAACACAUUAGUUUUAACCUCUUGGAAAAGCCAUGAAGUUGAGUCAACAUGAUUAUUCAUGGAACGAUGUGUUCAAAUCAAAAUGAGUACAAAUUAUUAUUGUUAAGAUCUUUUUCUAGAGAUCAAUGAAAGUAGGACACUGUGAGUUGUUCACCUUUUCAAUUGCUUUUGCUUUCAUUGUGCUGAAAUGGGGUUAUUCUGUGAACAGAGUGAGAGAAUUAUGAAGUGUUUUCUGAAAUUUUCUCUUGCAAUAUUUACAAAAUCCUACAAGUAGUUUGAAGAGGGAGGGGAAAGGUUUGCAAGUAUCAAACACUUGGGAUUUGUUCUAUAGGUUAUACAACUGUCUCUUUGAGUUUUAAGGAGCCAUGAGAGAAAAUUUGCAUAUCUGCUAUUGGAUUUUUCAUCUUAUAUAGUUGAACAUUUGAUUUCAUUAUUUGUCUGAAUGUCUCAUCUUAAUAGGAUUUACCUUGGGGAAAUCAAAAUGAAGGCCUAUUAGAUCAAAAUUUAAUAUGUAAUGACAUAACCUUGGAGGAUGGUACUUGAGUUGUGAAAGAUUUAACUAUUCUAAAAGUAAACAAAAUAUUUAGUUUGACAUGUAAUAUAAACACUGCAGGUAGCUCUUGAAGCAACGACGAAUGACUAUGGUCAUCCAUCAUAUAUCAUAUUCUGUGUCUAAUCAUUUGCAUAUUAUUUGCUACUGAUCCUAUUAGAACUUGUAAAAUUUGUAUUUGAAAUCAGUACUAAACACAAUUUCUGUAGAUUGUUCCCCAAAUCGUGUACCGAUUGUAUGCCGAACAUAGACCUUCACUAUUAUUAUGUAUGCCAUUUUGUACCAAGCUAACUAACAAUGGUUACAUGAUAAUAACCUUUUCUUUAUACUUCCCCUAUAAUGUACUUUGAAUUGUGUAAUCUUUGAAAAUGAUUUUUUUUAAUAGAAAAAACUAUUUUUUUUUUUUUUAGUUUAAAACUAUUGACUUUGUUUCAUUUUGUUAUUGAUUGAUGGUAUUGUGUUAUUAGAUGAGCAAGUGGUUAGCAAGCCAUUUUAGCUUUUUCAUAUAAGUUGGGUCAGAUUGGGUUGAAUAAAUUUCUAUAUCUUCUAUUUGUUUGUGUUUUCAAUUUGGAUUCCUCCAUCAAGACGUUCGAGAUGCUAUGAUUUAUUCACUCAUUCCCUUUCCAAAAAAAUCUAGAAAAUCCAAUUGGAAACAUGAAGAAAUUGGGAAAUAUGGUGAUUUCUUUUGUUUUAAUCGUUUAAAUAGGAGUUAAAAUGACAGUAAUGUGCCUUAAAUCUAUUAGAGUGAAAAUUAUCCAAAUUUCUAUCGCUCAAAAUCAUCGCAAUGAACUUAAAGUUACAAUUUCAAUUUUAAGUUCUUGAAUGUUUAUAUACAAAUUUAGUUCCAUUUCACUUUUUUUUUUCUUAUUACAGUUGAACUUAAUAUUCAAUCAACAUUAUGAUAAUUAUCUAGAAAAUUAUAUUUUUCUAACAGCAUAUUGGGAGAAGGAUCGUAUCUCUAAACUUGAGGUUAGAGACUCCCUCCCCGCCCCUAUUCCAUUUUCUAUCCUCACGAACUUUCGAGUUGAAAUUUUUCGCGGAAAAUAUUUCUCACUUUUGUUUUUUUGUCUUUAAUAAAUAAGUACAAAUAUAUAUAAGUAUUAUGUAAACACACAUAUACAUGUUUAUAUAUACAUGUGUGUCUCACUCCUACGUGUUCAAUGAAUAUUUCUACUCAAGGCCAAUAAUAUAAAUUCAUGCCAAUUAUUCACACGUGGAGGAAAAAAAGUUGUGAUAAUUCAAUUACUAUAUAGAAAAUUCAUGUUAAGAAAAUUUUGAAUAACUAUAUUGACAUGAUUUUUGUUGUAACAAAUAAGAAUAUGAUAGAUCUCAAAAUAAUCAUAAUAAAAAUAUUAAAAUAUAUUAAUAAGAGCUCGUUUAGAUUAACUUGAGAAUUUUUUAUUUAACGGAUAAAAAUCAAACAACUUAUAGAUAGGAAUAUAAUAUCUAUAAAUUUAAUCUUUAAAAACAAAAAACCAAACCAAAUGGUUAUUAAAUAAGUACGUAAAGGCUAAAUCUAAAUGUUUUCGUGCCUUAAAAAAAAUCUUUAAGAGAUGGUUUAGAUUGCAAAUAUUGUUUAAGGAGUAACAAUUCUUUUUCAAACUAAGUUUUGCAAGAAGUUAUACUCAACCCGAUUCCCAACAAUUUUCAGAAGUGCUUAUAGAAACACUGUUCUAAAGCAUGUCUUCAAAAAGUAAUUUAAAAGUAUUAUAAAUCACAGAAAGAUUAAAACUAGAAAGACCAAGAAUUGUUAUCAACAUAGCUUUGGUCAUCUUGGGAGUAGUAUUGUUUGGGUGCUUAGAGACCAUAAGGGGUGCGUUCAUUGUUGCAGGGAAGCCUGUUUGAGUCUCAUUUGAUGCGUUAUUUGUUGAUAUCCGAGUGAUUGCGGUGAGUUCACAGGUUGUGAUCGAGCUCGACAGUGCAGUUGCUUUGUUAAGAGGAAGAGUUGUCAACAGCAGUAAGAUCUAUGGUGAAGAUGCACUGUGAUUUAUUUGACGUUCAUGAACUAAAGUGGUUGAUGGUGUAGCUCGUUAGACUAUGUAAAGGUGUUGGUUAAUAACGAUUCGAUUUGUUAAUUUUUAAAACUAUGUUUACUUAUUUUCCUUUAACCAUACAAACGAUUUCCAACUUGCUUAAGUUAACCUUUGAAACAAGUACAACAAUAUAAUAUAACAAUUCGAGAGAUUUAUUAUAAAUUAGUGUAAAUGGUGAAAGGCAUUAUUCUUUUUUUGUUUUUUUUAAAUGGAAUCAAAGAAGAUUUCAUAUUCCCAAAAAAUAAAUAUUAUAUAACAACUUGGUUUCCCUCUCUAUACCACUUUCCAAUGACAACAUUAACCCACUGUGAAAAUUAAUUAGUUUUCAUAAUAUUUUAAGGGAGGAAUUUAUAGUUAGGUUUUGGGUACUUUAUCAUGUUAAUAUUUAUUUACUUUUAGUGGAUUUUUAGUCGACAAAGUUGAGUUAAGUGGAUAAUAACGAUUCAUAGAGUUAAAAUAUCUUUAGAAUGCAAAAUUGAGUUAUAAAAUCAAAUUAUAUGUUUCGAGAUGUUGAACUAGUUGAGUUAUUGAAUUAAAAGUAUAGAAGGGCAUUUUUUGAGUAAUCUAAAAAAAAUGUUUGGGGUAAUUUUAUUAAUUUAGAUUCGGUUUGAUAAUCGUUUAAUUUUUUAUUUUUAAUUAUUAUGUACUUUCAAAAUAUUUAAAAUUGAAGACCAUCACUUUUGGAUCGAGAUAUGAUAAGGGUGUUAUGAAUGUGUGAUAACCUACUUAUCUUUUGAAUUCUCGUAUUUUGUUUUUUAAAAAAAUGAAGGCAUUUUAUUAAUAGUUUUUCAAAAUUUGAUUUGAUUUUGAGAGAAUGAAGUCAUGGUAUAAAAGAAAAACCCUAACCUCCAAAUUUUGUUUUUAAAAUACCAUAUAAAACUAUUCUAGUCCCUAGAGCUAAUUCUUUGAAUAAAUAAUAGUUUAUAAAAAAUGUGACAUCUUAAGUUAUUUAUUCAUUAAUUUGAUAUGAUGUAGGGUAAGUUGAGUAUAUUUGAAUGAUUAAUGAAGUUGGCACCCUCACAAUUGUGAUGUAAUUAUAUAUAUAAACAAUAGUGUUUGCAUAGACAAAUGCAAGGAAAUAUUUAGGUAAUGAAAAUGGGUCGAAUUUUCAAUUAAUUGAUUUCUGAAAGUUAAUGACAAAUGACAAAAUUAAAGUGAAUAAGUAUAAGGUUUCAGGGAAUAAAAUAAGUGAAGUGGGAGUCUGAGAAUUAAAGUGAGGUCAGGUAAAGUAGUUUUGGGACUAAAGUCAGACUUAAACCCAUUUCAAUUUUAAUAUAUAUCAAACAAUCAAAAUUUAUAAAUAUAAUAAAAUUUAGAUCUAAUUUUUAGAACUAUUAGUAAUAAAAUCGUUUCAUUGCUAGUACGAGUAUAUCUAUAGUUCUUAGAAAUAUUGUUAUACGCUUAGUUAUUAGUUUUAAAAGUACAAUUACCUUAAAUGUUAUUGUAUUUUUAGAGUUUAUUUUUAUUAAAUAAAUAAUAUAUGUUAUAUUAAUUCGUGUUCGAUUGGGUUGAACUGAAUUUUUCAACCCUCCAAUCUGAAACCUAUUCCAACCCAAAAAAAUUUAAUUUUUUAACCAAACUCAACUCACAUUUAAUUUAAACCUAACUCAACCCUUAUAAUAUGAGUUUGAUAGUCCGAGUUCAACCCAUAUUCUUACAUCCCUAGACAACAUUGUAGUGGAAAAUGAUGAAAGUGAUAAGAAAGUGUCUAUUGAUUGGGUGCACCCCUAAUCCAUCGUAUAUCCUCCAUUUUAGAAAAAAAGAAAAUUGAAACGAAGUGUCAAACAUCCGACCACCUUCAAGAUAAAAUGUCAUAUAAUUCACCUACGAGUCAAUUUCACUUUGUUGGCUUAAAAUUUAUGUUUCGACAUGAGAGAAUGAUUAUAGAUAGAAAAAAAAAAAAAAAACAAAUAUAGUACAAAGUUUAAAAUGACUAUCAGUCAAGUUCACUAAGUUUAAUAAAAAUUUGUUGUAUUUUAUAAAUAGUUUCAAUAUUUUGCUAUUUUUCAAAAUGUACUCGUGACACCUAAAAUUUAUUUUAAAAUGUGUGCUUUAUUAACAUAUUGUUCUAAAUAUUGAAUAGGUGCAAUAAACUACCACACACAAAAUAAUCAAAAUAAUAAUAAAAAAAGUUCUUUUAGAAGUUAAUUCAUAGUAAAAUAUAUUAACUAGAUAAUACGUAGAUAAUAAAACAUAUCAUUUUCUCUAAGUUAAACUUGGUUGACUGAACUUAUAUUAUAUGUUUUGACAUUUUGACAUUUAUUUAAAAAUAAAUAUGCUUUAUUAAAACAUUGUUCUAAAUUUCUAUAAAAGAAUUGAACAUAGAGUUUAAUCAUAGUGCAUGUAUAAAUAAAUUUAUUUUUGGGAUAUGCUUAAUUACUUUAUCCACUAAGUUAAUAUAUUAUUCCAAUUCAUUAGUUAUAUUAUCAUUAAUAUCUUAUAUGGCUCCCAUUUGUAACUAUGAUUUGUAUGAUAUCUUUAAUAACAAAUCUAAUAAAAAAAACAUUAAAGAGAAAUUAUUUAGACUAACAUAAAAUAGAUCAUUUAGAUACCUAUAUUUAUCUCUUUUCUAAUCUACGUUCAUUUUCAAUAUAAAUUCAACUAGUUAAGAUAUAUGUCAUUAAUUAAUUACGAAAUUGAAGAUUUUCGAGGUAAAAAAAUACAAUGUAAAUAUCUUUUCUUUUAAUAUAUAUAAUUAUUUUCAUUAUUAUUUUAGCUUUUAAGGCAACAAGAAGUCUCACAUAAUCCAACAAUGUGAUAAAAACAAUAGAAUAAAUAUCUAUCGAUCUCUAUUGAUGUUGUAUCUUAAAGUAGUUUAUCAUGUCUAUCACUUGUGACAUUUAGUUAUUUUCUAAAAUAAUGUGAUUAAAAAAGUAAUAUAUAUUUCAUUUUAGUUCAAGAAUAUUUAAGUAAUGUGAAGUUGAGAAAUCUAACUAUUAAUUAUUAAUAUGGUAAUCAAUAUCUUAUCUAUUAAAUUAGGUUUGAAUUAAUUAAAUAUAAAUAAUCGAUCAAACCAAAUUAUUUAUGUAACUUUCAUGACUACUAAUUUAGUUCUCUCAAAUUAAUAGACAUUUUUUGGAUUCAACAUCACAACUGAAAAUGAUUUUGAAAAAUUCAAAAUCAAAAUGAAUUUUAUGAGUAAUAUUUAAAAAUCCUUUAGUUUGAAAGUUGGAGGACAUUUUUCUUCCAUCACUCCUAAAUAUAUACUUUUAGAUUUUAGAUUAAAUUACAACUUUAAUCAAACUUCUAAACUGAAUUUUAUACAAUGUUCGAGCAAAAAAGUAUAACAAAACCUAAUUGUUUUGAGAUCGGAGUAUGAUAAAAGUGUCAACGAUGUAUAAACCUAAUUGAGAUAUUUGCGUGUAUACUUUACUAAUCCAUCAAGUUCUCUAGUAAGUAACCUUUUUGAAAAUUUUUAAUUUUAAUUUAGGUCCAAUGAGAUUUUAAACCUUUAGUUUUGUAUCAAAUAAGUUUGAUGAAUUUUUUUUACACAAAAAAAAUGUCGAAUAAGUACAAUAGCCUAUCACACAUAGAACUUAAAAAUUCAAGUAAGUAGUUAACGAAAUCCAAAUAAUCUCUAUUAGACAUUUUCUUUUAAAAUUGAAGCAAAAUAGACUCAAACUCGAAAGUUUAGAGACUUAAACUCAAAUUUUAACUUUUGAAAAUAAUAUUAAAACAUGAAUUAUAAAACAAAUGAAUUGUUCAUAACAAGCUUAUUUUAUCAAAGAGUAUAAAAAACAAAACAUAACUCUUAUCCAAAAGAAUCCCUAGAUUGAGCUAUAUAUAUAUAUAUAUAGUUAAGAAAAAAAUGCCAUUUUUUUAUACCUCAAUCUAAUCUUUGAAACAUCAAACCAAACCAAGCUAUCUACUUUAUAAAAUAUUUAAUGAAUUGACAAAUUAAAAAAAUACAUUUAGAAAGAGAAAAGUAGAAUAGUACUGCAAACUUAACUACUCUCAUCUAUGAUAAAAUUAAGCUUAUAUAUAUAUUAAUAUAUAUGUAUAUGUGCCCACCCAUGGAACAUUUUUUAAGGUUGUAUAAUUAAUUUGUUCUUCAUCAUUUACUGCUUCGUCUCUUUCUACUUUAAUUCACAAAUUUUCAAGAUCUUUUUAAUGUGUCUAACCUAAUAUUUGUAUAGCUAUAGCCUUUGUUCUUCUCAUGUAAAGAAAUAUAUUUAAUCUCAAAAACAACAACAGCCUCCAAAAUAUGAUCAAAAGAUAUAUAUAAAAUGAGUAAAACAUGUCAUUAAAUUAAUUGAAGCUAAAGGAAUCCAAAAUAAAGUCCAAGGCUCAAACACUAAUUUACAUUUUACUUUUGUAGGUUUCGUCAUCAAAAUCAAAACACACCACACCCAAUUUUUUUUUCAAAACCAAAACAUAUAAUUACAUAUAUACAACUAAAUUUUAUGUUAAUUUUUCAUGCAGACAAAACCUAGGAGUUAGAGAAAGGGAACACAAUCCCAUAUAACAAUAUUCCAUUAGUUUUUACUUAAAAAAACCCAUAAAGAGAAAAUUAAUCUUGAAUUGAGAAAUCCACAAAAACAGCCAUGAGAUAUAAUUUCUUCUACGACUUAAAUAAUUUAUAGAUCCCAAACCCCAAAAGCAAGAGAUCAACAACGACAAGAAGAAAUUAUAUAUAUUAUAAAAAGAUAUUCCUAAAUUAAAGAUGAGAAAGCUAAAGUAUUCAAUGAACAUCCACAAAAAGAAGAAGAUGAAGAUGAAGAGAAGAUGAAGAUGAAGAAGAAAAAAAGAUUUAAUUAACAAUAUAUAUAAAAAUAAGGGUUCAUAAGAAGAUUCAAUGGCUGACCUUUGAAACCAGUUAGUCAAUCCGAUCUGCAAUUUUUCUUCAUUUUUUUUUUUUUUUGACUUUCGAGUCUAAACACUGCAAGAGAUUUGAUGGGGUGUUCUGGAUUUGUUUUAAAAAUAAUUUCAAACCCUCAAUUAGAUCCAAUUUUUGAGGGUUUGAAUUGUUUGUCAAAAGGGUGGAAGUUGAACAUUUUGCAUAUGAAGUGGCAAAUUCAAGAAUGGAAGUCCUGAAUUUGAUGGGUCUUGAAAUGGAUUAUUAUUGUUGUUGUUACCAACUCCGCCGCCGCUCCCUCCGCCGCCUGCAGGAGUUUGUUGCUGAUCCUCCUCAUCCAAUGGCAAUCUCUCAUACGCUACAUUCGUAAACGAAGCUGCAAUCAAAAUCACCGGCCCGGCCGCUGUCAAUUCACCAGCAACCGUCCCUCCCACUACUUGCCCCUGCCCUCCGGCUAAAAAUAUCGUCAAACUCGUCGCACCGGGUGGAGCAGGCGGCGGCAGAAACGAUCCCGACAACGACAAAAUUUCAAACCUCCCUUGAAGAGUCAACACCCCAGCUGCCGCUGGCUGGCGGAGACCGACGUUGGUGACGUUACCGCUACCGCUCAAAAUACAGAUCCCACGCUGUCGUCGGCGGGCGUAGGAAGCGACGCAAUCGAAAACAUCGCAGCCGCUGCCAACUUCUAAGAUGUGGACACGAAGCGUGUUGGCGCUCUCACGGGUGAUGAUAACCGGCGGCUUUGGUUUGUUUUUCGAACCUGGUGGCCGACCGCGUGGACGACGGCCAACAACAUCCCCCGUACCACCUAGGGUUUGGUGGGGAUCGUCAUCGUCUUGGUGAUCACCGGAGGAGAAAUGACCACCGUCUACUUGUGGUUGAAGGUGAGUUAGAUAUCGAGUUCCUAAAUCCAACCCAGCCAUAAAACAUUAACGAGAAAGAAAAUUUUCGAAAGAAAAAAAAUCCUUUUGAAGAAAAUAUGAAUUUGAAAGAAACCCACAAAGGGAAAUGGAAAAAGAGAUGAAAUUGAGGAAGAAAAAUGGUGGAAUAUAGAGAGAAAGAGAUGAAGAGAUGAAGAAAUGGAAGAAAGGCCAAAGAGGAAAGAAAUAGGAGAGACUCAAAACGCAGUCAUUCAUUUCUCUCACUGCUAAAAAGUUUAUGAAUAUUUAUAUGAAAAAUUCAUUAAUUGGUUUAAAUUUGUUUUUUAAUUUUUUCAUUUUUAAAUAAAACUUGGUUUCUUAUUGGUCUUCACGUUCUAAGAAAACUACUCUCACUUCUUGAGCGUGGAACAAACGCGAUGAUGUAUGCUUCAAACUAAAGUUGUGUUUUGGAAAGUGCUUUCGGUAACUUUUUCUUUUCUUUUUUCCCAAAAUUAGGGUUAGGUUACUAGAGUUAGUCAACUCCAAUUAUAAUUACCCAUAUUCAAAUUAACAUACAUAACUUCCAUGUUUUCCAUUCAAUUCAUUUUAGCUCAACCAUAAUUAAUUAGUAUUACUUUACGUGAGCUUACAAGUUUAAACCAUUUUAUUUUAUUUGAUUGGUCUUUUUAACGAUGAACUAAUUAAGAAGAAUGUUAUUGUAGUCACCUCCACAAUUUUGUAUUUUAAAACUUCAAAAUUAGGUUAGUUCAAGUGAAAAUAUGAUUUUUUUUCUCUUUUUUAUAAAACUAAUAAAGUUUUUAUUUCAAUGAUGUAUAUUUAUUAAGUAACAUUUUAUUUAGAUUUCAAUAAGGACACAUGUAUGUUGAGAUUAUAUAUAAAAAAGAUUAAAUACAGUCAAGUCCAUAUAAAAGAAUUAUGCAAUAAAAUCUAUACUACAUAUACACAAUUUAUGUUAUUUCAUUGUUUAAUGCAUGGAAUAAAGGUUUCAUUUCUUUUUCAUUCUAAAAUGCUUCAAUCAUCAAUCUUUAAUAUAAUAAACACAUAAUUCUUUUAUUUUAAAAAAAUGUAUCAAAACAUAAGGCUAAAGCAAGAAGUUUACUCAAUAUUAUUAUUUGUCAUCUUUUUUAUUAAAUGUGUUUGUAGGGAACAAAGAUGCCAUAAGAAAUGAUAAUGAAGAUGUUAUUCUUUGGUUGUUGGUUUUGGAACUUUUGAUAGAUUAAAAGCCUAAACCCAUGGUUUGGGGGAACAAGUUUGACCAACAAACUUGGGUUAUUUAUUGAAAUAAUAUGGAGGGGGGAAUAUUUUUUAAGAAAAAAAAACUUAAAAAUCAAAUAAAUAAACUAAAUUAAUUAAUCAAAGAAGGGAUAAAAUAAUAAUGAAUAAUUAGCAAGUGGGAGGUGGAUCAAUGGACCCUCUUUUUUGUCUUGUUUCAUCCUAGUGGCCAUCUAAAAUGGUGCCUUUAGCCAACUGCCCUUAUUUUGUUCUUUGUCUCUUCCCAAAUUCAACCCAUAUGGAAAACUCCCUAAUUCCAAGUUCAAGUUGCAACCCUUCUUAAAUUAAUAUAUAACUAAUCUUAUCUCUAAUCAUUUUUUAAAGUGUAUUUAAAGUUUCACCUCAAUUGAGGAGGGGUGGGGAUAACUCUUUUUAUCUUAAUACGUGAUAUCAAGAUUAGCAAUCUGUUAAAGUUUUUGCUUCAACAUUAUUCAUAUCGUUUUAAAUUAUAUAUCCUUUCUAGAUGUGGUAGUUUUGGUUAGAAUGCAAUAACAUAAUCUUUCAAAUUUUCGAAAAGUUGCCCUUUCAUAUAUGGGAAGGAAAGAUUGACAUCAUGAUCAAUUUGGCUACUUUAUUUUCUGUCCAAAUUCAUUUCAUUUUUUAUUACGACACAUCUUGAUCUAUUUUAUUUUGCUUGAUUGAAAGGUUUUUCUAUAGCAUUUCUUUUGUUUAUAUAUAUGCUUUUGACUUUGAAUUCUUUUCUAGGUCCCUUGCACUCAAAAUCUUAUGUGUUAUAUUAUAGAUUUAUCAACCACACUUAAUUAAAAUGGAAUAUAAUUAGGGGUCUCUCUAUUCCUUAAUUUUUUUUUUUGUUAAAAGAAUAUUUUUUUAGAAGUUAAAUGAUAAUAUAAUAUACUUAUAACCAGAUAAUGGUCGACAAUAUAGACUCUAAAUAGAAAAAAAGUCAUACUAAGUGUUUUGUUAAAUAUUUAAGAGAAAGUAAUCGUUGGUUAACUAAAGAUUAAAAUAUGUUUCCACACAUAUAUUAGGGUUAGAAACAAAAACAUUUGAAAGUUUUCUCAAACAAAUUGUUUUUCACCACAUUCCUAAAUAUAGAAAAAAAAAAAACUUUAAUAAAACAAGCAGCCAAUAAAAUGUCAUUAUGCUUACAUUGUUGAACAAAUUAAAUAUGAUUAAUUAAAUAAGUUUAAGUAAACUUAUACAUCAAUUUCCCAAUGAAUUAAUGCCAUAUUAUUGUUGAGGUUGUCUUAGCUUGGUUUUGAAUUUCAACACCACAUUGGAUUUUGUGUAUUUGCUUUCCUUAUAUGUUCAUAAGAAGUCAAAAUCAGAAGCUUGAGAAUUAAUCAUGACUUUGGAUAAUUAGAAAAGUUAAAAGUAGUUGUGCAAAUUUUGAAAAUCUUGGGUUAUGUCAUUUUGUUCGAAAGUAGUCAAGUCUUUUUUUUCUAAUUCGCACUAGCUUUAUUAUUAUUAUUAUUAUUCAUUUUAAGAAUAUGUUCAUUGAUAUUUUAAAAACUUUGAAUAUUAUAAUUUUAACCUAGGUAAAAAAAAAAAAAAAUUAAUAUCAUAGUUAAUUUAAUUUUGUGUUUAGAAGAUCAGCAAAUUUUAAAAAAUAUGAAAUGUAUUAAAGAUGUAUUGAACAGUCCUUUUUUUUUUUUUUUUUCCUUUUCAUUAAUUAUUUUUUUGCAUUGACAUCUUAUCUUCUCAAUUGUCUUAGUCUUGGAAAGUGGUUUCCUCCUUUUACUUUGUUCCUUCUUGAAAAGGACUCAUGUUUUGGUGUUUGGUAGUUGGUAGUUUCUUGUUUUCUUUAUCUAUGUUUCAACAUAAAAUAUAAAUACACAUAUCUUCACUACCAUUCAACUAUUUUCACUUUAAAACAAAAUUUCAUCAUUUUCUAUAUGAAUAAAAUCGUCCAAAACAAACUUCUGCUUCUUCUUCUUCUUCUUUUUGUUAACUAUAAUGUUUGUAUCAUUUUCUAACAAAUUGGAUUUUUCAUGAAAAGCUUACAUUAUUAAUUUUUAUUAUAAAAAACAAAUAAAAUAAUUAAGAAUACUACUAAAUACGAUACUAGCAAAUGUCUAAAUACGAGGCAUAUUCCAAGGUAGAAAUUAAUUAAUUAAGAAUACUACUACUAAAUUAUUUUAGAUUUUUUGUGAUGAUGAAUAGUUUUAGAAAAAAAAAAGGCUAUAAAAUAAAAAAUCAUUGCACUUUUUCAACCUAUUUAUAAUUUUAUGCACAAACAUUAAACUAUAUAUAUAUAUAUAUAUAUAUAUAUAUAUAUAUAUAUAUUAUCUUUUUUUUAUAAAAAAAAUGGCAUAUAAUAUAUGAAACAAAAGAUGUAUCUAUCUAUGUAUAUAUAUAAUACAAACUUUUACAUCACCAAAUGUUUAAGUGAUUAUUGAAUGAAUAAAUAUGAAACAAAAGGGAUAUAGAAAGCUCAUGAUGUUCUAAAUUAUAUAGUUUCUUUUCAAAGAUUAAUUUAGUAAAACAAAUUAUAGAAUUUUUUUUAAAAAAAUGAUUGAAAAAUACAUACAUUCCAAUUGCAAUUAGUUUCUUGAGUUGGUGAUGGCCCUUUUAAAAUUUAUACCUAUAUAUAAUUGACAAGCUUAGGGUCCCAUAACUAAAUAAAAAUAAGAAUCAACUCAUUAGCAAAUCUUGGUGGGAAGAAAAGAAAAAUCACACUUAAAUCUACUUAAAAUAAACGCAGAGUUAAAUAAAUUAAAUUUAGUACCUCUAAAGUAUAUGUCCGUACUCAUAUUAAUUUAUUACAUCUAUUUGUGUUGUGGAACAAUAUUUAAUAUAUGAUACAAAAAUUAUACCUUUUCUUCUUCUUCUUCUUCUUUAAUUAAGAAUAUAUUUACCUUUGUUUUAUGUAUAUAUAAUAAUGUUUGAAAAGAUUCGUCUCUUUAGAGGUUUGGAUCAUUAAUUGGUAUAUUAAAAAGUAGGGUUGAAUAAUUCAUCUUAAAUUUUAGUUAGUAUAUAAAAAUUUUGAAAUUUUAUUUUAUUUUAGGUAAUCUAACCAUUCAUAUUCUUAAAUUUUAAUGGUUUUGUUGUAUUCAUUCAAACUUGAGACUAAUAAUUGUAUUUUGUUUGUGAGUGUGUAUUAAUUUACAUACUUCUAACACUUAUAUUUGUAUAAUCAUUAAGCUUUCAUAAAAUAAUCAAAUUAGAUUUUCUAGCUACACAAAAUUUGUAACAUCAUGCGUUUCGAAGAGAGAUAUAUGAAUGAAUCAAAAGAUCUCAUCUAAAUGACAAGAUUCAUAAGAAAUAAUUAAAGGUACUUUAUAUAUAUAACCAACAUGUGUACCUCCCUAUUCAACAACUCAAUUAUAAGGGCUUCAAAAUUAAGUGAGAGCCAGCUUGGAGCAAUCUUGUAUUAGGUGAUCUUCUGAAAAUUUUCUUAAAAAGCAUGUGAGUAGGAAAACUUUCACACUUAGAAGUCAUUAUUCAAGACAAACCAAGAAUUAUAUUCUCAGGUCAUGUCGGAGUCAUUUUGUAAAAAUAAUAUUUGCAAAAACUAUAUUACACAUGUUUAGAAAAUUAACCUAGGAAUGAUUUUUAAAAGAGAAAUUUUCGUAAAUAACAAAUUUUACAACUUAUAACAAAUUCUAUUAGUGAUAGUUAUUGAUAUGCUACAGUAAUAGAAGACUGUCAUCGAUAGAAUUCAAAAUUUUGCUAUAAUUUGUAAAUAUAUUUUAGAAAAUGUUCCUUUUUUAAAUCCAUAAAUUGAUUGGAUUUAAUGAAAACUUAUGAGUUUAAUGGAGGGUGACUUCAAUAUUUGACACAUAUAUAUAGAUAUAUAUAAUUUUCUAUAAGCCCUUUUAUAGACUCUCAUGACUUGACAUGUGUUUAUUAUUAUUAUUAUUUUUAUCUAGAAAUCAACUUUAAAAUAAGGCUUGAAGCACAUAGGAAUUCCAUAAAUUUCAGAUGCUCUUUUAAUUCAUAUAAAACUUUGACCUAUUAGUUAUCAAAUUAAUAAACAAAUCGUAAAUGUUCAUCACAAUCAAGAUAACAAAAAUUAUGUAGAUGAUUUGAUAGGCAUCAAAAUAUAUUCACCACAAAGAAAUGCAUAUAAAAACAAUACUUUAUUGUCGUACUAAAAAAUUAUAAAUUUAAAAAUAAUAAUUGUUUGAACUAUUGAUUAUAAAGUGUUUAAUAUAAUUUAUUUAACUUUUCUCAAAGUAAUUAAAUUGUUUUAAAAAUAAUCGUUUUCUUCUCAUUCAAUCAUUGCAAGCAAUUUAAUUUAAUUUAUUAAUUAAAAUAGGUUUAGUUUCGUCAUUUCAAAGUUUAUCCAUAAUGUUUCAUGUAAUGAUUAAUAAUUAGAAAGUUAACCAUGGAUAAGAGGUGUAGUUUUUUUUCCCCUCAAGAACAAUAAUAAAAAGGUAUAGGAUCAUUUAGAUUUUUUCUUUUUUUUAUAGGCCAACAAAUUUAUUUAAUUUUUAUGAUUUUAAAACUUAUGUUUGUCUCCCUCUUCUAAGCAUUUCACCUACUUUAAACAAUACAUAUGAAUCUUUUAAAGAAAAAAAAUCAAGUUUCUUUUUCUGCCUUGAAUUUUGAAAUGGUAAGUAUAGGGUUUGAUAACCAUUAAAAUGUAAUUAAUUUUGAUUAUUGUAAAAAAAAAAUCAAAUUGUGUUACCAAUCUUUGUGUCUCUUUGAUCACUAUGGUUGUUGUUUGAUAUUAAAUUAUUUUAUUUGUUAGGUUAAAUCAUGUCACAACCUCGUGUUUGACUUGUAUACUAAUAUUCUAUGUUAGAACCACGUUUUUUCUUCCAAAACUUUAAAAUCAAAAUUGAUACAAAUUAAUAAACUUUAAGUAAAAAUCUACAAAUUAAGAAAAGAAUAAACUUUUUUUUACUUUUUAAUUUAAUUAAAAAUUCAAAUAUAUAUUUAAAAGAGAUAAAAGAAUACCAAAUAAAAAUAAAAGUUGUGUAAAUGACAAAUGUAACGGAAAUAUAAUGAAAUUUUAUUUUUAUAAGUGACAAUCGUAGAUAAACAUCUAUAAAUUUAGUGCUACACAAUUCGAUGUGUAUCAUUUAAUUAAGUAACACGUGGAUUAAAAAUUACUACGAUUAUUCUAUAUUUAUAAGUAAGUUUACUUUUUUUUUUCUUAAUAUUUGAAAACCAAAACAAACAAAAAUGUUUAGCAAUUGAUUGUUUGCAGUAAACCCAUAUUCAAGUUCUGAAAAAAAAAAUUAAACAAAAAAUAACUUUUAGAAAAGAGUUAACCUUUUGCUAUCUUUUAAAAAGCAAUUCUUUCAACAACUUUCAAAUAACUCAUAAUUGCUCUUUAUAUUAAAUAACAUCUAGUUUUGUCUUAAAAUCAAAUAACAAUUAGGUUAGAUAUAUAUACAGUCUAUAAACCUAAAUUUGGUCCAAUAAUUAAAGAAAAAAAAAAACCCUUUCUUAAUGUGAGACUAUUUGAAAGAGCAUUUAAUCUAAUAGCCUUUUCUGAUUCUGGUUGGGAUUGAAAUGCUUUGGAUAGACGUUCCCAAUUCUUGGGCAACAAAUUAGAAGAAUACAAUGGUUUCUCAUAGUUUUAUUAUGGGCAUGAGUACAUGGCUUUAAUUAGCAAAAACUACAACGAAUCUCUUUUGGGUCAUCAGCUUCUUCAUCAUCCUUCUAUUUUUCUUGUGAAUCAGACUGCAAUUCAAUUGGCUCAUAAUCCUAUUUCUCAUAAAAAAAAAAACAUAGAAAACAAGUUGAAGCUGAUUUCUAUUUCAUAUGAGAGAGUACACACUCCAACAAUUAAUUAAUGAGGAGAUCAGAAAGCACUUUCAUUGAGAUUAUUGUAUGAAACAUUGCACCCAACAUGCCUAAUUGUAACAACAAUUAAUUCAAUGUCAAAAUUUUAAUGAUUGGUUUUAUAUAUUUAGACACAAUUUUUAGGCCAUCAAAAUUUAUUUAACAUGGAUUGAAGACCUAUUAAUUAAGAAGUGAUUUUAAAGAUGAAGCAAAUUAUUUUAAUUAAGUUCACAAUAAUUACUUUUCCAAACAUGUCCUAAUUAGUUAAAGUUAGAUAAUAACACUAGAGGCAAAAUUUAAAACAUAUUUUAGUUUCUAUUUUUAGAGUCUACUUUUCAUUUUGUCCCUAAGUUAAAUAUAUAUAUAUAUAUAUAUAUAUAUAUAUAUAUAUAUAUACUUUCACCACCCCAUUUAAUUUUGAGUAUUAAUUUUCAUCUAGUUUUUGGUUUUUUUGUAUUAUUUUUUUGAAAAAGUUACUUCAUGAAGGUUCGUUAUUGGUAUCUUGGGACAGUAGUGAGAACUAUUUUAAAUAUGAAAAGUAAUUUAUGAUUAACCUAGGGACAAUUAAUACAAUUCUUUUCAAAAUGUUUCAUCUCUUUGCCUUGAAUUUUGGCUCCCAAUAACUCUUAGGUUUCAACAUUUCCCACUCUUAUCCUUGAAUUUAUCUAAAUAGCAUUUUUUUUAGUUUUUACUAUUAAUUAAUCUAAAAUCACUAUCUAUUUAAAAUAAAUUAUUUUUCAUUAGCUUUUCAACACUAGCUAUAAAAGUUAAUUAAGAAAUUCCCAUCAUAGUUAAUUUAAAUUAACUAAACUAAAAUUAACAUAUAAUAAAAAAAUUCAUAUAAAUAACAAAACAAUAACAACUUGUCUGUUUAUUUGUAGUAUUACGUUAUUCUAAAACUAAAGAGUUCUUUUCAUUUUUUUAUUUAUUUUGUUCUUGACCUAAUUCGAAAGCGAUGAUGCAAGAGUUCUCUAAUAUUUGACUAAUUAAUUUGAAGUUACAAUUUUACCAGUAUUAAUCGUUACGAUUUAUUUGUAAUAUCUAUACAAAACAAAUAAUUAUCUUUAAGACAAUGUUUAUCACGAGCAUGUCUCAGCUAUAUGUCUUCAAUCCUCGCAAAGAUUUUGAAGAUUUUUUUCUUCAAUGAUUUUCAUAAGCAUCACUAUAUCAUCAAACUUACGUUUAAAUUUAGUUGAAACACCUUGAAUUUAGUAUGUGGCACUACGAAUAACCUAAUAUUGACUCUCAUUAAGUUACUUUAUUGGAUAGACUUAUUUAUGAGCUAUUUACGAUUUUGACACUAGAGUUUAGAGAAGUGCACAAUAUAUAAAUUUAUUAAUCUAGUGACGUUGUAUUGUAUUAUAAAUUUUUUUUAAUAAAAUUGUUCUUGCUCUGUUUCGUGAAAGAAACUAACAAUACAUUAUUAGUGAACUACAUAUAUUUGUGUGUCGAAAUCCAUGCUAUUUUAGGAGAGGUGUAAUGGUUUGUCAAUGUAUUCUCUAUUUUAGGGGAGGUGUAAUGGUUUGUCAAUGUAUUCUCUAUUUUAGGGGAGGUGUAAUGGUUUGUCAAUGUAUUCUCUAUUUAUGUAUCAAAUUUCCAACCACACCAAUAUAUUAUAUACAGAGAGAUGAGAGAGAGAAAGCAAUGAAGAAUGUGCAUGCAUCUAUGGAUGUGAUAGAGAGAGAGAGAGAGAGGAGGUCACGUGCAAGGAGAAAUGAGAAGAGAUAUGGAGCAUCGGAGAGAGAGAAGAAGAAGAGGGCAGCCUAUAGCUGUCGGCCACAACCCAAAGCCCACCUUCAUUGGAAACUGUUCUAAUCUCUUUCUCUUUGCCUGUGGAACAUAAAUUUUACACCAAAACACAGCAAAGGUUCAGUCCCCUUGAAUCCCGGGGGGUCCUUUAAUGACACCUCCUUUACUUACCCCCACUUUCUUUUUCUCCAACCUAUUCCCACUCUCCAUCAAUUAUAACUUAUCCAACACAUUUCAAACGUUCUUUGAUUACAAUAGUCACAAAAUUAUAAUUGAUUGUAUGUUAUAAGAAAAAAAAUAUAUUGAUAUAAGAAAAAAAUACAAAGAUGCAAGAGAUCGAGAGUUGAAAAAAGACCAAAGAAAAAAUCUUCCCAUUAAGAGCUAUACAAGAAACAUCAUCACUAGAAAAAAGGUACAUACAGAAUGUCUUCGCAUAGAUAGUCGAAUGAAUUUUUAAUAUAAUAGUCUUAGGUUUGAGAUACAUAUCAUUUAAGUUAGAGUUAUAAUUAAGUUAAGACAGUAAACAAGUGUGUCGAGGGGAUAAGUGAUAAAUAGUUAAUAUCGUAGCAAGAAUAGUUUUAAAAUAGUGUUAAUGUGUAUAUUAUAAAUAAUUGUAAGUAUUAUGGCCAUUAUAUUUUGAGAGGGAGUGAGUUAUACUCACUUAUUCUAUAUCAACUUUACUUUUGAGUUUGUAACCUAAAGACUCUCUUUUUCUUUUACUCUUAGUAUGCAUGUUUAUACUUUCAAAAUGUAUAAAGACAAACUCUAUUCUACUUUUUUCCUCUAAAUUUGUUGAAUUAAGAAAACUAAGGAAAAUGGAGACAUUGUGGAUAUAUAUAUAUAAAUAAAUAAAUAAAUGAUAGACAAUAUUACCUCACUUUGGUACAACAAUUAGGUGUAAAAGAAAGGAAUGAAUCAUGAGUGACUUAAAGUGGAUAAAUGGCAUACCAUUAUAUAGAUAUGUGUCACACUUUCUUUUGUUCUUUUGGAAAAGUUCAUUUUGUGAAAUAGAAUUUUAAAAUCUUUGCAAAUUGAGGAGAAAACAAAGUUUAGAUCUUUAUUGAAGACUGUUAGAUAGUCCUUCUAUUUGUAGUUUUAUGAUUUCGAAAUUAAUCUUUUUUUUUUCAUUUUUCCAAUUUUCUUCUAAAAAUGAAAAUUAGUAAAUGAUUAUGAAAAGAAACUUUAAAAUAAACAAAACUCAUAAACCUAAUAUCGUUAAAAAAUUUUAAAUAUUAAGAAAAUGUUGAAUAAAUCAAAUAAAUCCAAUGAAUAAAAGAUAUUAAUAUCUAUUGUUAACCUUUUAUCUUACUUCUCAUGUUUCAUGGUUCUUUUAUUCACUAUAUAUAUAUAUAUAUAUAUAUAUAUAUAUAAUCAAAACAUCAAUAACUAAGUUAUAAAAAUACAAAAACGUAGAUAGAAAUGUUAACAUAAUUUGUUUUCUUCAAAUAAAAUAACAAGUAAAAGGAAUUGAAGGAACAAAUUCUCUUUUAAAAACUAUGUUGAAUAAGUAGAUAAGUGGAUUAACCAAAAUAGUUAUGUUAGGAGUACACUCGCGAGAAGCUGCGUGUAGUUUGGAAAUGGAUGGUUUUGAUUGGACAGUCAACGGUCAGCAAAACCAUAGAAACGUGCCCUUCUCUCUCUCUCUCUCUCUUGAUUAGGUAAACAAUUUGAUGAUAGAGAGAAAGAAAAGAAAAGAUGGUUUGGGGUUGUGUCUGAAAAUUUGUAAAAUCCCAAAUAUAAUCUUUAGUGUCGGAAGUGUGUCCUUGAAAAAAGUUCCCUCUUCUGAAAUUUUGGGUACCCAUACCCUUUACUUUUUUUUUCUUAUAAUAAUGGAAAAGGGUGGGAAUUGGAUUGGACUGAUAGCUCAGUUAUUACUUCCAUGUCAUAAAAGACAACCCCACGAGGGAACCCUAAACUUCUUAUCAAAUUAUAUAAUUUAACCCAGAAAAAGAAAAGAGAGGAAAAAGAAAAAAUAAAAAGGAGGAAAAGCUGUUUCUUAUUUUUUAUUUUUUGUGUAUGCAGUGUGUGAGACUUUGGUUGGUGAUCUCUCAAUUGAAGUGUGUGGCCCAAUCUGUCAUUGUAACUUCACCAACUCUCUCACCCCCACAUCCAUAUCCUUCAUGUCUACAUCACUUGUCAACUCUUUCAUCUUCUUUUUCUUUUUUCUCUCUCUCUCUUUCUAGCUAAAAACAUGUUGAGAUGAUCAUCAACAAUCAUUGUUUUAAUGUAUUUUGUGGUUCCCGAUCGAGAAAUGUUUGAGUAGGUUGUGUUGCUAAAUCAAUAGGUUUAUGACUUUUUAUGUAGUGCUCGUUUGAUUUGUUUGGAUUUUUAGCUUAUAAUAGGUAAUGUAUAUAAUAUUAUUUUGUUUCCAAAGUAUAUGUUCAAUUUUAAUCACUCGUACUAAUUAUAUGUUUAUUGUUAUUGAUUUUGUUUAUUUUAUGUGUUACUAAAUGUCUCCACUAAUAUUAUUUAAACUACAACAUGCAUGUAUAUAUAUAUAUUUUUUGUACGAGGAAUAAAAGUUUUAUGUACCUAUGUUAGCUCAAGUGUUUAAAUUUUGAAGUAUAUAACAAAAAGAAAACAAUUGUUUUGUGUAAAUGCAAACAAAAAAAUAUAUACAAAAUUUAUUGAUACAUAUUAUUCGAUUAGGGCAAGUAAUUAACAAAAUUGGAAAAUUUUAGUUCCCUAUAUAUGUAUUUGGUAUUAAAAUUCUAAUCCUACCCAUCUUGCAACACCUUGACUGCUAGUAACAUUAUUUUGUGAUCUACUAAUGUGUUAGUAUGGUAGAAGCUCAAUGUAAACUCUCAUUCCUUAAGGAUUAAUUAUUAGGCAUAAGAUUUUCAUACUCACUAGUGUCUAACAUCUUGAUAAACUCUACACUAUAUGACUCAAUAAUUAAUUGGAUAAUAAAACAACCAUAUAUGUUUAUUAUUUGUUUUUCAAUCAUCAUAAAAUUGUCGGGCACAAUUCAACUUAAUUCUUGAUACAUUUGAGGAUUGUUUUCAAAAAAAAAAAAAAAAGGCAUAAUGUUCACUUUCUUGUCUCUUCUUGAUGAUCUUAAGAUAACCUUUAAAAGAGAGAGAGAGAUGGGAUUGAUAAAUCUCUUUGCUACCCAUUAAUAAACAAAUGCAAUACAUUUGGUUGUGGGGAUUGAUAUAUUUUAAUCUCAACAUCACAUAAUUGUAUAUUAGCACAAGAAAAUUUAAUAACAAUGUAGAAUUGACUUCUCAAGUCUUCUAUUACAUAUAUUAUUAUUUAAUACUAAAGAUAACUAAUACAAUAUGCAAUCUAAUUUAUGUAAAAUAAAAGUUACUAUUACAUAAUCAUACACUUGACGGUCCCAAAUGUAAUUAACAAUAACAAAUUAUCAAAAUCAAAUGUAUAUAUAAAUAAAGUAUUAUAUUUUGGAUAGGCUGCAAAUUUUAUUUUCUAACUAUAAUUAAAUGCAAAAAGUUGAGUAUCUAGAAGAAGAAGAGCGAUGUCCCAACCACUAAUAAAGUGUACACCUGCAAUUUAAUUUGUAACAUAAGACUUUACAUAUUUACAUAUUAGAUAAACGUUGGAAAUACAAUCAAAGUCGAUCUCCUAUCGAUUAAAUAAGGGAAAGGUCGUGAGUAUACAAAUAAGAGCAAUAAGUUUUGUUGUUUUGGGACCUUUAGCUUGAAGUAAAAAUUUCAAGUCAAGAAAUUUUUAUUGUAAUUGUAAUUGACACGCUUGUGAAUAAUAUUAAUAUUCUCUAAAAAGACAACAACUCCAAUAUUUGUUAUAGAUAUAGCUAUCAUAGUUUAGUCUAGUGAUAAAAAUGGAGACAUGGUUUCAAUAACUAACUAAAAGGUCAUGAGUUCAAUCAAUAGUGACCAUCUACCUAAGAAUUAAUUCUUUGACACCCAAGUGUUGUAGAGUCAGACGGGUGUUCCGUGAGAAUAAUCGAAGUGUGUGUAAGCUAGCUUGGACACUCACACGAAUAUAAAAAAAAAAAUCUUUCAUAGAUGACCAACCCUAGAAUGAAAUGGACUCCUUAGAUAUGCACAACAAAAAGAUUGCAAACAGAUAACCCUAAUAGAGAGAUAACCCUAAUACAGUUUCUACAACUCUAAAAAAGGCAAUUAAUAAAUUCCUAAGAUCAAUAAGCAAACGGGAUUUUCCAUAUAAGGAAAAGAAAUGGUUUGCAAAGUUAGCAUUUUAAGAAAACAUCAAAUUCUCUAGAACAACUAUUGCAAUGACAUAAAAUACAGAGAGUGAUAACGUCCACAACACUUUUAAACAAAUAUUGUCAACACUCAAUCUCUAGCCUUCGUAUUUAACCAAAUUUAAUAAACCUUGACAAUUACAACCCAACGAAAAUCAAAAGGCUAAUCCUACUUCUUUUUCAAGCUUGACUAAUUCUAGUCUUACCAUAGAAUGAUGGAAAUUAUGAACCAAAAUCCAUAUGUUAAGUAUUAUAAUUUGGAAAUUGUUUUAUCUUUGAGAUCAUAGGAUUGGUUGGUUGAAUUCUCUUAAUCUUAAAAAAAAAAAAAAAUCAAAAGACAAAAACGAAUAAAAUUCAACUUUUAAUUUUAAGUUUUAAAUUAAAUAAUUUAAAACGUCAAAAUAUGUAUAUACCUAUAUGAUGAUUUAAAAUAUCGUAGCGUGUCACGGCAUAUUUCAUUCAAGUAAUUGCCAACACAAAUUUUAAUUCAUUGGUUGAGCUUUAAGAAUGAAAUUUCAAAUAAUAUGCAAAUUUAAUUACACACCUCUACUUAGUUUUCUUAGGCUAUGCCAUUGAACAUAUCAAAGACAUGUUUGUUGGCAAUUAUUGGUCACUAAAAUAAUAACAUCUAUAAAACCUUCAUAUAUUAGGAAAAUUUGAAAAUAUUUAAUUAGUAUGCAAGUUGUCAAAAGAAGAAAGAAAGAAAAAGAGAAUAAUAUGUAGUUUUGUUUGUCUAAUUAAUUUGACUUAGCUCAAAUAAUUGAGAGAGUGUUUGCUUGUUGGGUUUGAUUCUUUCAAUUAAUCUCUUGGAAAACGAAUUAAUUAUACAAGCGGCUAAUUUGUCAUCAUCAAUGUAAUUAUAAAUAAUUAAUUAAGCUAACAACAAUUUGGCAUUAACAAUGACCACAUCAAUGUGAACCCUUUUAAUUUAUAAUCUUUUUUUAGUUAAUAAUUGUGACGGACAUCAUCCAACUAUUGACCUUUUAAAUCUCUUAUUUACUAUAUUAUAUACUUGAAUUUACUUCAUUUAAUCUAUGAUUGUUUAUUGAUUAGGUUAAAUAAGUUCGUUUAAAUUUGUAUUUAUUGAGAUGAGAUGAGUGCUUUCAUAGUUCAACAUUUACCAAAUAUUGUUAGCUAAUUCUAAGAAAAAUCAAAAUAUAUGUAAUUCAAAUUCUCUUUUAAAUGAUCGAUAUUUAAUUAUAGUUAUUUUUAGGUGCUCCUAUGAUUUAUUAUUACCUAUGCAUAUAUAUAUAUACACUACAAGGAUAUUGUAUCAAGUUUUAGUAAAAUGAUUUGAGUGAAGAGAGUAACGUGUAUACAUGAUCGACUUUGUUUCUUAAUUUUGUAUAGAACCAAAUCAAAUUAUAAAAGAAAAGAGAGAGAAUGGUAGGAAAAUAUUAGAAGCAGAAUAAUUUUUGAAAAACUUAUGCUUGGAGGACCAUAAGGUAGGGAGAUUGCAUAUGUUCUCCCAACGAUCAAUCAGAAUAUUUUAAUGCACCACAAAUUUUUUUUUAUUAAAUACGAAUUAUUAUUAGUUAUUAUAUUGCUAGUAGAUUUUCUUAGAGGAAAGUAUAUAUUUAUUUAAUAGCAUUAAUAAACAUAGUUUAUAAAAAUAAUUUGUCGUAUAACUAAUAAUGAAGGUCAUCCUUCUUGUACAACUUAUUUUCUAACUCAUAUCAACAAUAAUAACAAUAAUAUUUGGAGGGUGAAAAUUUAAACAAUGAAAAAUAAAAUAAAAUAAAAAACACAUCAUAUCACUUUUGGGGACUCUUUUUCUAAUAUUAAAUUAUUAUAUAAAGUUAAAUAUAUCCAUUUAUUCUAUAUAUAUGUUUAAAUAAAUGGAUAACAAAUAAAGAAAUUAAAAAGGCAGAAAAACUAUUUCAUAGAUAUUAAAUUAUAUCAAAGUAACACAAUGUAAUCUCCUUUUCUUUUUCAUUAACAAUAAAUUAAAAAACAGUGUAAUAUAUAUCUGAAAAUUUUAUAAUAUAUGAUUGACAUGAGAGGAUUAAGUAGAUUAUUAUAACUUCUUUAUUUAAUAUAUGGUCAAAAUAUGUGUUUAAUUUAUGUAAAUCAUUAGAUUAGGGAAGGUGAUUAUAUUAUUUAAUUAAUUAAUUUUCUUUUCCAAUAAAAGUUGUAGGGAUCCCAGUAAAUCCUCAUAGAUAUUGUAAAAUACUAAGAUUUGUGUUAGAUAUUCUUUUAUAUUAAUCUUCACUUAAAUUAACAUAUGAUAGGACUAUAAUUUAAAUGUCAAAAGGUACACACAUUAACAAAUAAAUAAACACUUGAGAAUUACAUCACUCCAUUGCCCAAUUGAUAUUUAUAACUAAAGUUACCUUUUCUUGUCCUUGUAAAUAAUUGAGAAUAAGUUACUUUAUGGGUUAAAUUAUAUAUUGUGUGCUUUUAUAAUAAAAUAAUAAUACUAAGAAAAUAUUAUAUAUUUUAAAUAUCGUAGAUUAAAAUAAGCUAAUUUCUCUAACUCGUGGUUUUAACUGACUUUUUUUUUUCAAAUUUGUUAUAAUAUUAUGUUAUGAAAUCAAAAAUUAAGAAAUAAAAAAAACGUAUAGAAAUCGAGUGAGAACAAUAUUAUAAGUAAUUUUUAUACGAUCAUUUUAACGUCGUUAUGUCCUACAAAAUUUAAUAAAUGAUUAUAUCCAUGAUUCUAGACAAGUCUAGUAUGAAAGCUCUAACAAUACUCAUAUAGUCCAAUGUGAAAAUAGUUGCUCCCAUAGUGUGCUAUCAAUAUGUUAACUAAUAUUUUAUUUCAUAGAGAUGCCUUUCUAAUUUUGUAAUCAAUGUGUUCUUCUUUGGAAAAGUCAUACGAUAUUUAAUUAGAAAAAAUACAAUAGGUUAAUGUCUCUUUCUUGGUCAAUAUUAUUUUACUUUAGGUUUUUGUUUAGAAAUUUAAACCCAUAAGUAUUCAUUCAACCUCCAAAUUUCAUACUUUACUAUUAUUCUUUUAUCUAUAUUUUAAAAAUUUUAGUUAAAUUUUGAAAACUAGAGUCAUUAUAAAAAUUUUAAAAAAUAAAGACUUAUGGUAUAGUUAGUGAGAAGAGUAAACUUCAUCAAAUUGUAAUUUGUUUUUGUUUUCCAACCAUUCCCCCAACUUGUGUUGAUGAUUUGAUAUGGAAGAGGUGAUAAUGUUGGUAAGUGUUGAUUGACUUCAAUUAAAUUAUUUAGAAAGAAAUGCAAUAACUUUAUAAUAUUCUUCAAGCAGCCAAAUUAGCCAAAAAAAAAAAAAAAAAAUUCAAAGUUCAAACCCAUAUUAAAUUCCAACAACAACAAUAAUUGUAAUUCACACUAUUUUCUCAUUGUUGGCUUCCAUUUUCAACAAAUUAGAAAAUGUGCAAUUUUUUAGAAACUUCUGUUAUCAACUUGCCAUCUUUGGAAAUUCAUAGUCUUAAUUUUGAAUUAAGGAGAAUUAUGCAUUCAAAUGACCAAAAGUCUCUCAUUUCUUAAACCAUUUGGCUUAUUACAAAGAAAACAAUGGCCCCUUUAAGCCAUCAUUUUGAUCCAUAUUCUAUUCAAUUCACCUAAACAAAAACCAUUUCUUCAACCAAUUAUAGGCAACAAGUUAAAGCUAGCCAAGUUGGGGUGGCUUAUCAAACUUUUCUAUCUGCUUUCUCCAACAACUUGCAAUCUCAACCAUUUUGAAAAAAUCCAACCAAAAUCCUCUUCUAAAUUAAACGAAACAUACAAAAAGAGUCGAAAGAAAAGAAAACGUACUCACAUAUGUUCUCUCUCCAAUUCUAUUCAUCAUUAUCUUGUAUUUUUUUGAAGCUUUCUGCUCAGUUUUUAUAGAAUGUUACAUUUUAAAAAAUACUUUUAAUUCGAGAUAAUAGUAUUACAACUCUUUUACCUUAUGAUAAAAAAUGCACAUUAUUUUCUACCCACGUUAAUAGACAGAACUACAAACUUUACAACUUUUGUAUGAACAAUAUUUCGAGCAUUUGUUUAUAUUAAUAUAAUAGGAUAUUUUGUUUAUAUAUAUUAUAUAAUAGGAUUCAACCAAGUAGGAGACAAAUUUAAUCUUUCUCUCUCAAGCAAUAAUAUUAUAAUGAUUAUUGUUACAAAGUAUAAACAUUUAAAUUUUAUGCUUUACUAAAAAAUAAAUGGUUAUAUUUUGUACUACUUAGUGUAUUUGUCAAAUUUUCUUUUCGAAUUUCUUUGAAGUUUUGAUAUUAUUUAUAUGUAUAUAUUAUAUAUAUAUAUAUAUUUCCAUCAACUUACUUUGAUUAAUUAUGAACAAGAAAGAUUGUAUAGUUUUUUUUUUCCUGAAAAAGAAAUAUUUUGUUAUUGUGGUGGCUAGUUGUUUGUCAACUUAAUAAUAUAUUCAAAAUGAGUCUAUUUUCUCUAAACACAAUCUAUUUUGUGUUAGGUAAGUUAUGGGUCAAGUCAUAAUGAAGAAUAAGUUGAUAUGCAUAAUUCAAUUUUAUGGAUACACAUGUCUUGAUCAUUCAUUUUAUAAAACUGAAGUAUUUCUAACUUGGAUAAUUAAUAAUAAAUGUACUUUAUUUAUUUUGAAUCCAUUUAGGACCAAUAUAGAAAAGCUUAAUUAAUUACCCAAAAUAAUAAGAAUAUACAUGAAACUAUAUUAAAGCUAAGAGUUCAAGAUGAAAAAUAAUAAUAAAAUUUAAUAAGGUAUUCGUUUUUGUGUCUCCUUAAUUAUAAUUUUUUCUAAUUCCAAAAGUUACAUGAAUUGAAGUUAAAUAUAAAUUCAAAUCUUAUCUAUCUCAUUUUAUAAAUUCACGCUACUUAUGUAUAUAUAUAUUGUUUGUUUCAUUUCAGGUAAUCACACUUCUUGUUUAGAGUUUAUAAGUUUCAGUUGUUUUUGUUAUAUGCCAGUGUGUUUUUGUUAAUUGAGUAGUACUGAAAUACUUUAAAUUUGUUAUUUGAUGGUUGGAUGAAAGAUCAAAAUAUGUUGUAUAGGGUUGCAAUGAGAGCUUGGGGAUGAUACUUUAGAAACUUAAUUUGUAUUUGUUUAUGCUGCCAUUUAGAUACAUGUCGUACGAGUAGUUAAUAUUUAGCAUGUUUUUUAUUCAUUUAAUGUACAUUUUUUGGGUUUAAGUAGUUUGAAGGAGCAGAGAAUGACUGUUUUUUUAAGACUUUGUGACUAAGUUAACUAUUUUUUGUAAAUUCAAUAUUUUUUUUUGUUCAUUUUGGUAUGCCAAAAAUGGAAAUAAAUAUAGAUCAUAUAACUUUACAUAAAAAAAAAAAAUUAUGGUUCGUCAUAUUUUUGACAAAGCAUUAAUGGUUGAAAAUAUUUUCAUUCUAAAAUUUAAUUUCUUGUUGCAAUGUUUGAUAUAUUUUUGUUAUACCUAUGAAAUUUAUUAUAUAUGUAAAAAUUAAUCUAGAAGCAUAUAGUAUUAAUAACAAAUGUGAAAAGUUAGAAUAGUUUUUGUCAUGUCUUUCGUGUUGCUAGAAAUAUGUUGGCAAUUAGGAAGGCUCCAACGACAUUUUGUGUUUGGGCAAAAAAGAAACAACUAUCAUUUGUGGCUAACAAUCAAAUUUAUAUCCAAAAAAAGUAUUUGACACAUGUGUGUGUAUAUAUAUAUAUAUAUAUAGACAAAUUUAGCGUGAGAAGAAAUUUUUUUUUGUCGACAAAAAUAUUUUCAUUGGUAGAAACUGUUUCUACCUAUGAAACAAAUGUGGCUAGAAAGCCUAUUUUUGCUGACAUGAUAAUGAUCGUGGGUAAAAAGAUCUUUCUGUCGAUGCUUUUUUUCGUGGGCGAAAAUAUCUUUUCUGCUCAUGAUAAUGAUUGUUUUUGUCAUGAUCGUGAGCAAAAAAGAUAUUUUCGCCCACGAUUUUAAUUGGCGUGGGCAAUUUUAACUUACAUAAUUAUGUCAAAAACGUUGGCAAAGGAAAAGACAAAAGAGUUUUUGUCAUGAAGCGUGCCCACGCAAAAAUAACUUCGGUAGAAGCUCUGCCUCAUAUUUCUUAAGAUGUUCCCACGUUUGUGUGCGUUGACAAAGACCAAAUUUCUUGUAGUGAAACCCUCAACUUUAUUAAUGCCUCAAUUUGUAUUAUAGAUAUGCUAUUUAUCUUUUUAAUAUAACAAAUUGAUCACUCCCAAUGUUUAAUAAUGUAGUUAACAUAUUAUUAGUAAACCACAUAAAUUAUCAUUAAUAAUAAUUUAAAAGUAUAAAAAAGAUUAUUUAAUUAAUAUAAUCAUUGAAAAUGUCGUUAACAUGUCUCAUCGAUGAAAAGCUUAAAAGUCAUCAACAAAGGUUUAAAGACUUUGGCGUUGACAAUCUCGUUUUAUCUCUUUUAUGUCAUUGGCGAACUUAUAAAUAUAUUGAAACAUGAAAAUGUCUAACCGAGAAAAUAAAAUUUAAUACCCUAUAUACGAGUGAAAAAAUUAGGGUUAGAAAAACCGGUUAGAUGGUUGAAAAUAAAAGAUCGAAUAACACCCUUUAAAACUUUCCGAAAUCGAGAAAUUAUCAUUUAGUUUUAGAUAAAAAAAAAAUACAUGUAAUACAACUCUCAAAUCACGGAUUGACCAAAUAAUUUAAGUUAAUAAUAGAAGAUAAGUCUAACGAUAUUAUUUAAUAUAACAAUUUUUAUAAUCUCAUCUGGUUUGAACAAAAAUAAAUUUAAGUUUACAUGUAAAAGCGAAUUUAGUUAUAUCACUUUCAAAAGUUAAACUAUUACUAUUUACUACUAUGAGUCUUAAUCUUACAUUCAUACAUUACUACUGUUAGUAUAUAGAUGAAAACUGUUGAAUGUCGAAAACAUUUUCUUAGUGUAAAGAGAGAAGAAGAGAAAAAAAAGAGUUCCUCGAUAGGACCAAUAGUAGAUAGAGAGAUAAAUGAGAAAUAGAAAUAAAAAAAUAUGUACGAAGGAACACAUCGUCUUCUCUCUGCAAGUUGGAACACCAUUAAUGGAGGAAAAUACAGGCUGUUCCCACAUGAAAUCCAUAAAAACGACAACUCCAUCGUUAUCAUCCACGUGGGUUGCUUUUAAAUUCCACUUUCCUUUCUUUAAACUUUCUUUUAAAAAUAUAUAUCCAACUUAUAUCAAUUGAUAAUAAUGAAUUAAGAUUUUAAACACCAUAGGAAUCUAAUGCCCCACCAUGAUGGGUUUUUAUUUUUUUGUCUUUUUUUGGAACCCACCAGCUUUGAAUGAAACGAGGAACAUUUUUUUUUAUGCUUUUGUUUUUCUGUGUUUCCUCUCUCAGUUUCUUCAGAUUUAAUUAUUUCCAAAGUCAAACUUGUUGAAUAUAUAUAAUUCCCCAUUAGGUAAUUUCAUCCACCCAAUUGCAACAUUUUUCCAAUAUUAAAUCUCCACACGGUUAAGUUUAUUGAUUCAUGAUUGUAUGACAUUUGGAUGAUAUAAAACCAGUACUGAGUUGAAGAGGAAUUUUGAAUCUUGUUUUGUAAGUAGUUAUUGAUAGGAGAAUUACAAAUUAUAGAGAGAAACAAACUCAUAAUUACCAACUCGUUUUACAUAAUAUAUCUCUUUUAGUUAGUUCAUUAUUCUACUUUGUACGUAGAAAAUUAAAAAAGAGUUGAUAAAUAAAACGUACAAAAACAAGCAAUAAAAUGUUAUUAAUAGUAAUUUAAAACUAUAAAAGAAUGUUAUUUAUUAAUACAAAUAUUUUUUAAAAAAAUAUUUAAAGAAAUAACCAUUAAAUAUGGAUAUUGUAUUGAUAUCUUCGUUAAUAUUUAUAUAAAAUUGAAACUGUGACGUUUUCUUUAACCCUUCCUAGUACAUUAAAACAUUGGUUGAUGGGAUGGAAAAAACUAUUGCACCAAAACAAGCAAAUAGGAGACUUGGUAACAUUUUUUUGUACCUUUUACUAAUCAUUUUUACCCUAAGAGAAAAAAAAAAGCAAUUUCUUUUGGAUAGUAUAUACAUUUUGGACGUCUCUAGUACUCUUAUUAUACUCUCUCGUAGACGAGCUAAAGUUAGCUAGAGAUAAACUCGGGGUAAAGAAAAUUAAAAGAAAUUGGAGGGGUAAGCUUUUGAUGCUAAAGAAUUCGUAUGUUUUCAAAACUUUUUUCCAAUUAUAUGAAAUUAAAAUUUAAAAGUUAUUGAAUUGUUUAUCAAGUAUAGGAAAUGAAUAAUAAAAUUUUCUUUAGCAUGUUAAGACUUCAAAGUGUUACUAUUCACAUAAAUUUGAUCUUAUGAGUGUUUAUAUUUGAUUUUUAUUAGGUUCACAGCAUGAAAUUUAUAUUAAAAAUAAAUAAAAAGUAUAAAGCAAAAGAAAAAAUCGACAUAGUUGUUCAUUGAGAUUUAUGUUGCUUCAAAUCCCUACCAACAAAACUUUCGUACUUGGUCCUUUAAAACGUCAUAUAUCAUAUUUAAAUCAUUCUAACAAGUGUUCACGUAAAAAUACUCUUUCUAGUAGGAAAUGCAUUCAAAAACUAAAUAUUACAUUACAAGAAUAACCAUAUUUUAUUCUCAAAUUUGAUAGAACAUAUUGAGACACAAUUUAAGAUGUCAUAUCAAUUUUUUUGUCCAGAUCACGAGGAAUUAUAGAAUUUUGCACCAAAGAUAGAAGUUUAAGAAUUUAGGAGGGUAAAAAAAAAGCAAUGAAGUAUGGGGAUAGAAGUUAAUUGAUUGUCAUAUUGCUAAGGAGACAAUGCAUAGUUGUAAAAGUGGCUUCCAACAAAGAGACACACAACAAAGCAAAAUGAAAAAACCAAAUGUAUAUAACAAAAUUUUCUUUUUGGACAUCACAUGGCUGCUCCCUUCAUAUCACCCUCCUCCUCUCAUGCAUGCACAUUAUUAUUUCUUUCCUUUCAUUUAAAUAUUAUUUUGUUUGUAUAUUCUUCAUUUUCAUCUACUAAUAUCCUAUACUUUUAACUUUGGUUCAUUUUAUAAAUGGUAAAAUUUAGAUAUUUGUUUAAGAAAACGAAAUUAAAAACAUCUAUAUUGAUAUAUGUAAUUUUAAAACCACGAUACUUCUUUUUCGUAUCUUUACCUUUUCAUUUAUUGAAUUUCUUAAAAUGUAACUAUCAAUUUCUAUUAUAUAUAGUAUUUUCAUAACGUUAUGAAUAAUAAAGACUCAAAUUGUCACUUUUAAAGGUACAAGGACUCAAAUGUGUACUUUUUUUUUAAAGUACAAUAUCUUAGUGAAAAUGAUCCUAUAAAUAUCUCUCCAUAUAACGGUACAAUAUAUUGUCAUUUUAGGCAUAUAUAAAUCCUCGUGACUUUGUUUUUUGUUUCAUUUAUAUUGUCAUAAUCGUCAUCUUUUCUAACCGAUACGAGACUUUGACUCCACUCCUAGCUAGCACAAUAAGGUAACCUUAUAAUAGAAACAUUUUCAAAGUUCAUAAACCAAAAUCAUCAAUCAUGGCCGUUAAAAUAUGUAAACCCUAUAUAUAUAUAUAUACCCUCUCUCUGGUCUUUUGCUUUUCCCAACAUUUUUCCAUUCGAUGGCCUUUUCAAUAAACUAUUACAUUUCUCCUUCUAGGGUUACAAAAAGACUAGAGAUUAUUCCUUUCUUAAGAUAGUCAUUUGGAGUAAUGAUGACCAUCUAAAACCUUUCCUUUUUAUGAAUAUAAUAUAUAUAUAUAUAUAUAAAUAGAUUUCUAAACUUUCUUAGUUGGUAAGAAAUCCAGAAAGGAGAGUUGUAUUGUUUCUUUCAAAUGACUUAAACUUUUAAUGUUCUUCUAAGUUUUGGAUGUCUAUGUUCUAUUGGUGUUUAUGGAUAUUGGAAAUUGUUUAGACACAAAAUAUGCAAUAUAUUUACAAAAAUUCUACAAACCCAUUCCAAAUUAUAUAGUUUUUGAAAACAAAUUUGAAAAAAAAAACAACUAAAAUGAUGAGACAGUACCAAACUCUAGCUUAAAUAUUUAACAUAAUUUUCCAUCUUUUUCCAUUUCAAUUUAAUACAACCUAAGAAUUUUAGGCAUUGAAUUGCUCCUAUGCUAAUAGACAAAAUUCACCAUAUUUAAUCAUUAAUACUAAAAACUUUGAUCAUUUCAUCUAUCCAUAAUAUAAUAAAAAUUUUCCUUUUCCACCUCAAUAGUUUUAUUUGAAGUGUUCAAAAUAAAUGGAAAAUUAUUUCAAAUAACAAAGCUGACGAAAAUAUUAUAAAUAUAGCAAAAUUUUAGAAUCUCAUAUUGAAUUUUUUUUAUAUUAGUAAACAAUUUAGUUUAUUAUAUUUUUGAAACCAUUCCUAAAAAAAAUGUUUGAAGAUCAUCAUGUUUGAAGUUUUAAUAGAGGAAAAUGUAAAUUUGGUAAGUAGUCCUCAAGUGGGGUUUUGGGCCUCAACAUUUUGGACUUUGGAGUCUCUAAAACUAAGUCAAAAUCAACCCAUCCUCAUCACUUAGGGGAGAGAGAGCCCAUUCCAUCUGCCACAACCAAGUAUUCAAUGAAAUUUAUAUAUAUAUAAAUGAUAUUUGUGAAACCAAAAGUAAAGGAAGAAGAAUUUUUACCCAAAGUAACAAUAUAUGAGAAUACAUUUGUGGUAAUACUGUUUUUUUUUGUCCCAAAUAAGUGAUAUUAUUAGAGCUAUAAAUGCUUUUGACUUAGUCGAUUGAAUACUCUGAGUAUUGAACGAAAGGACUUCUGAGCCCAAAAUAAAAUAUUGAAGAGAUGGAGAGUUGUUAGAAAUUAAAUUAUUUUUAUUAGAAAACUUUUAAUCAAUUUUAUUUUCUUUUACAAAAUCAAACAAUCAAGCAAUAAAAAAAAGUAUAGAAAUCGACAUAGAUUACAUAUAUGGUUCAGUUAGCUACAUGUCCAUGAGAAUAGAGAAAAAACAAUUUUAUUAGAGAAAUUUUUUUAGAAUAUAAUACACUAUACUUUAGAGAGUAUAUAUAUUGCACUUCUCUAAAUUCUAUUGUUAAAUUCGUAAAUAACUCAUAAGUAAGUACCUAUGCUCAAUUACGAACACUAAAGAUCUUUGUAUUUAGGUUGUUUGUUGUGCCAACCGUUCAUAUAUCGAGUUAGUGUCGAGAAGGGUUUUGUUUUUUUUCAAAAGAAAAGAUCAAUAUGAGCCCAAGCAAUAUAUUGAAAAUAUUUUUUAUAAGAUUUGGGAUGAGUUUAUGUAAACUUUGGAGAUGAAUUGUUGUUGUCAAUGUGAACAACUUUUAAAUGUAUAGAGAAAAUUCGAUAUGAAUAAAUCAUUAUUUAUCUUUUUCUACUUUUAAAGAUUUAAGCAACCUGAUAUGAAAAAAAAAAUUGAUUGGGUCACUAUUUUUUUCAAAUUUAUUCUAUAAUUUAUCAUUUUUUUACUGUAUUUGCAUUUCAUACGUUCUCCUGCAUAUUUGACAACAUAGUCUUCCAUCGAAUCAAAAUCAAUUUAUAAUGAGUUGAAUAACUUUUAUAUCUUAUAAAAGAUUGUGAAAUCUCUUUUUUCUCUUCUCAAUCAAUAAUCAAUGCGUAUGAUAUUCAAUAUUUUUUUCAACACUACCAGAAGAAGAAGGAUCCUUGGUGGGUGCUCUAGAAUAUUGAUCUCAACUAAGUUGACACCUGCUUAACACAUUUAUCAUCACCAUGCUCUAAACAGCCCAAAAGUACAUGAUUUUAUUCAAAUAUAUAAGAGAUACAAACAGUGUCUAAUAGUAUGAUUCAAGCAAAACAAAAAAUGAAGAAAAUAUGGAAGAAUUUUUAGUACCAAGAGGCCAAUUAAGUUUAAUAUGCCCAUUCCCCAAAUUGAGAAAGGAUUUCUCCAAAGAGUUAAAAUGUUGUAUUGUUUUGUUUCCAGCCACAAACACCAGAGAGAGACACCAGUGAGGUUGCUACAUAUGAAUAGAUUCAAGAGGUCUAUGUAUAAAUGUAUAUGUUAAUAUGAACAUAUUAUUUUAGAUCAAACGUAAGAUAGCAAUAAAUAACCAAAGUGGUGGUUGUGUUUAAGUUCAUGAAUAACCUAGAGAUAUACAUUUGAAAGAUGAUAAACAUGAAUGGUCGAAGAACUUGAAAACAAAUCAUUUAAAAGUUUAUCAACUAAAAUAGAACAAACUCACAAAUUUAGGGACAAUUAAAAUGAAAACUAUAAAAAGAAUUACUACUAUAUUUUCAAGUCAGCUCAUUUGAGCUCAUAAAAUGUUUUCAAUCUUUAAAUUUUAUUCGACUAAUUCAAAUUUCAUCAAAGUUGUUCAACUUCAUAACCGUUUAAAAUGGUUAACGAAGGUAUAUGAUGAAGUCUCGUUUUUCAAUCCUAGAAAGAAUCUUACACCAAAAGGCAUCAAGUUAAUCAAUCUUACACCAAAAGGCAUCAAGUUAAGCAAUGUAAAACAAAAGCUACCUAGCUAUCUCAUGUCAAAACCCUUUUUUUCUUUUAGUUAAAACCCCUUCUUUGUUCAACAUCAAUUGUAAAUAAUAGAGAGCAGAUGUUUUUGGGGUUGGCACUUUGUCUCCACUCUUCCCCCAAUUAUGCCAAAAGCCCAUUCCCUUCCCUUUUAACCUAUUAUUCCUCCAUUUCCCAUCCCUUUCAAACUCUCACCUCCCAUCUUAAAUGUUAUCUACCCGCUAAACUCAACUCAUCUCAACUACCUUCCAAUUAUUCUCGCUCGACAACGUUUCUCGCUCGACAACGUAACUAUUGGUGCUACCGAAAUGUGGAAUCCUAACCAAGCUCAUCAAGACGAGGAUGAUGAUUCAUGGGAGAUUAGAGCUUUUGCAGAAGACACCGGAAACAUUAUGGGCACAACUUGGCCCCCUAGGUUUUAUAAUUGCACAUUUUGCGGACGAGAAUUUAGAUCUGCCCAAGCCCUAGGUGGUCACAUGAAUGUCCACCGUCGCGACCGUGUACGUUUCCAUCACCAAAUCCAACCCAACUCAAUUCAACCCAUCUCACCGUCUUUCACCAUCCCUACCCCUAAACUCAUCUACAAUGAAAUUGACGAGGUUUGUUUCUUAUACCAACUACCGAACGACAACAUCAAUUUCCUCAACUCCAUCACUUCAUCAGAUUCAUGUCUCCAGUCAUCCUUCACUGCACAACAUCCUUCGAGCACUCGAACCGCGUCGUCCUUGCAAUCCCUAAAGUCUCCAGGAGAGCUUCGAGGUGGAACGUCGAGCUCCUCGUCUCACUGCAGCCACAUAUCUAGCAAAGGAGAUGACUCAUUAAUAUCAAUUAAUGAUGGAAAUGAGAAGGUGGAUCUUGAGUUAAGACUUGGUCAUAGGGCAUCUCCAACUUGAGAAUCAAAGGAAGAGAGAGAUUGAUCAUGAAGUGGAAAUAGUUAAAAACUAGCCCCCUUUAAGUUUUAUCAUGAAGAAGUAAUGGUAAGAACUAAUUAGAAGAGAGAUGAGAGGAGGGAAAGUGUAAAAUUAGGGUUUUAAAGAAAGACAAGGCAAAAGCUAGCAAAUCAGUGAAAUGUCAUUUUCAGUUUGCAUAGAUUUCUGAGUAAUUGAAAAGCUUUAAUUUCUCUGGGCAUUUAUCUCCAUGGGGAUUGUUCUAUAUGACAAACAAACCAUUUUUCUGUCCCUCUUCUUUGUACAAACUACAAAACUACCAUCAAAACAUUACUUAUUAGAUGACCUACUGUUUUAUUUUGCCCUAUACUAAAAUAUUGUAUUUUUUUCCCUCCUACUGAUUAUCAUAACAAUGAUGUGCCUAACAAAUCCCAUCAACUCAACUUAAAUAACUUCAAACCUUUAAAACUCGUUUAGUAACCAUUUUAUUUGUUGUUUUUGAAAAUUAAGGUUAUAAAACAUACUCAUUUGAUAAUCUUUAAAUUUAUUUCUUUGUUAUCUAUUUGUUAUCAAUAUUUCAAAAACCAAGUCAUUUUGAAAACUAAAGGAUAGUAGUGGCAGUUUUUUAUUUAACAAAUAUGAAGGUAUCUUAAAAUGGGUUAACAUACCUUAACACCCUCGUCAUCAAACCCCAGAAACCAAAGUACUUGUAUGGAUAAUAAUAGAAUAGUAACAAAAUGAAGAGUUUGGGAGAAGUUUAAAAGUUCAGAUUAACAGAGACAACAAUAGUCUAGAGAAAAACCAUCCAACGUGAUAGAAGUAAUAUCAUAGUUUUAAAAAAUUUAAAAAAAUAUAGGUGAUUUAAGGGCAUCUAAAUAUAGAGUAUCUUCCCAACAGUUGCAAUUCGAAACUUGCCACAUUCAUUGAAAAGUUCAAUCUUUGCAUUCCAGCCCGAGGCAUCACAGACACGAUGCAAAAAUCAAAUUUCAUGGAACAAUAUUUGUUAUAAAGCCUUGAAUCUGUUGUAUCUUGCUUUGAAGAACCAAGUACACAAGGGCUUUUUUAUCAGUAAAUUAUGUUUAUAAUCCUAGGAUUUAAAGAAUGUACCGUGAACGUAUUGUAUACUAAGCUUUAGAGGCUCAUCAUUCUAUAUCUUAUAACAUUCUCCCUAAUAAAAUUGUUCAAUCCUUACCAGUAAAGGUAGCUAACAUAUUGUAAUUAGUAAACUAAGUAAAUCAAUUCUCCACGUUAUUUUACAUUUCUAUAUUCUUUAUAUAUUUGUCAAUUUCGUACCUACUUACAGUGGAUCUCAAUUUUUUUUCUAAAAAUACCAAAUUAGUAAGUUUUCUAAAAAAAAUUGUUUUGGUAUUUGAAAUUUGGUUAAUAAUUUGACUCUGUUACUUGAAAAAAUUGCAAAUCUUUGUAAGAAAUUAAGGGAAUGAGGCUUUAUUUAAACUUUUUUAAAACAAACAAGAAAAACAUUGUUGUAAUCCCUCCAAAUCAGUGCUCUAAAUCUAGUCAUUUUGUGAUUACGACAUCUCUACUAUUCUGGCGAGCUUUUUUCUAGUUCUUUCUUUCUAUUACUUUUGUACUCUUGACUUAUUUUCAUGUAUGGAAUCAACCGUUGAGCUUUAAGUAUAUAUAUGAUGAGAACAACUUAGUUUGAGAUAUUUGGAUACCAUCUAUUGAUGAUCUCUUAUUUUUUUCUGCUUUCUAUUGUUAAAAGAAUUCAAAGUUUAAAAACCAAAAAUAAAUUAAAAUAUUUACCUAACGAGAUUUUAGAUUAUAGUUAUCCAACCCCUUUGUUUUUGUAGGGUAAGUUUGCAAGAGAGAGUUACAAAUACAACACAUAAAACAUUGAUUAGAAGUAGACAUAAAAUCCUUAAAUGUGAUAAAGUUUAACUAAUCACUUGAAAAUGAAAAGAAGAAGACAAAACAAAACAAAAUUAUUUGAUUAAUUCCUUUAGCUAUUCUACACACAAUCACAUGAUAUUAUAUAUAUUUGUAUUGUGUGUGUAUGAAUUGACAUAAGAGAGACUUGUUUUGUUGGUCCCCUAUUGAUCUGCAUAAUCUCUGCAUCCUUUUUUCAAUCUCUUGUGAUGAUAUGAUUGUGACUUUAAGGAUCCUAACAACCAUGAAUUUACAAAAACCCUAAGAUUCUCAUCCCCUAACAAAAACAUUCAACUUAUCCUCAUUUCAAGAUAGUUUCUAUUGUUUCUUUGGAAGUAUAUUGUUCACAAAUUCAAAUUAUUUUGUUUGGUAUGAUCAUUAUGAAGAGUAGCUUUCAAAAAGAAAAAAUACUUGAUAUGUAUUUUGUGGUAAGAAAUAUGUAGCAUGCGAUAAAUUUUCAUUUUAGAAAAAACAAUCAUUACUAGUUAUUUACAUUGUUUAUCAAUAGUAUAUCGAUAAAUAAAUAAAUAAAUAAAUAAAUAUAUAUAUAUAUAUAUAUAUAUAUAUAUAUAUAUAUAUAUAUAAUAUAUAUAUAUAUAUAUAUAUAUAUACCUUGGAAUCUGGUCUAAUAAUUUUUGCAAUCUUAUUGGCUUAUUGUAAAUUGUGGAUUAUUGUAUUAAAAAGUAUUUUUAGUUACAUGCAUCCAUGUGUCCAAAUUUUUAUUUACCUGUCUUCAUGUUUUUUUUAACACGUGCAUGUUCACUUGAGGUUUGCGGAGAAACGUAAUUCGUAAAGUUGAAAUUUUGUUGAUGCAAUAUGGUAUGUUCUUUAGGAUUUGAUCUCUUAUUUUAUAUCGGUUGAGGCAAAGAUGUUCUUGGAGUUGGAGUUUUAUAAUAAAUAUUAGGUCAUAUUUGAGAUCCAUGGGCUUUAUAGGAUUGGGUUUUGUUGGUCCAUAGAUCAUACUCAUGGUUUCUACCAAUUUGAGUCAUAUUUAACACUCGAGCUAAAUUAAGUUUUUUUUCUCAAUUGAACUUUAGCUCAAAUAAAUAAUAUUUAAUUAAACCAAAAUAAUUAAUUUGAUCCAACGGUCAUGAUGAAAAUACGUGGCAUCAUCAUAAAUUCAAUUAUUUGUAUUUCAAUGUUGAUUUGGUAAAUGACUGACAAUUUAUGGUUUGUUCAAAACUUCUCAUUCAACUAAUGAAAAAUAUAUACACCCAAUUGUCCAUUUGAUUGACGUAGAGUAAUUGUGUCCAACUUUCAUUACUGCAUUCCUUUCUAGUGAAGAAGAGGGGUCUUCUAAUUCUUCUUUAAUAUUUAUUGAUCUUUUAAAAAAAUUGUGAACGAAAAAUAGAAGAAAAAAAUCUAUUUUUUUUUGUUUUUAAACAAAAACGAAAAAUAGUUCACAAAGGAAUAUGAAUUUUAUUGUUAAAAACACAACAAAAGAAAAUGAAAAACCAAAAAACUAAAAUAAUUAUUGAAUGAUGUCUAAAAGUUUAGAUUUUUAAGUUAGUAAAUUUUGGUUUGGAUUUUUAAAAAUGGUUCACAUAAAAAGAUUGAUAAUGUUAAAAAGAAAAUUUUAAAUAUGAAUCCAAUAAAUGUAUUAUAAAAGAUGAAUCUCUAAUCUCUAGAAACAGAAAUGAUGUGGAUGUAUACCAUGGAGAAAAACUUACUUUGUUAUAUAUUUUCUUUUACAACAUACAGAAAGUAGAGGAAUCGAACAUCUAACUUUAAAAUUGAUAUUAUAAAUAUUAUACCAAUUGAAUUACGUUCACUUUCGUAGAGUUAAAAAAAAAAAAGAAAAGAUAGAAAUGAAGUUUAUUUUCGAAUAAAUGAAAGGCAAAUGGAAAGAGAAAGCAAGAAGAAAGAGUGAAUGAGAUAGUUGGAAAAAGGCAAAUAAGUAGUGGGAAGGCUUAGGUCAAUAUCAAUGUAUGGCUCUCACACUCACUUCAACUUCCAACUCUUCAAAUCAUUAAUCAUUUUUUUUACUCUAUUUCUUUCAUCAUUAUCCUUCCUCUUCUUUCCUCUUCUUUUCUUCUUUUUCCCUUUAUAUCUAAUAUCUUUCAAACACUCAUCAUUUCCAAUUUUGGUUAUGAUCUUCAAAUUCAUAUGUUGUGGGUGAGAACUUUUUCUUCAAUACCAAAUUUCAUUAAGAGACCGAUACAAUUAGGUAUAGUAAUACCUUUCAUUAAACAUAGUUACAUGGUAAUAUUUUACUACACUACUUUCUCUUCAUUUAUUAUGUGUCACAUCAAUAGUGAUAUUAAUGUAGGAUAUACUAACAUGAGUAAAAGCAAAUUUAUAGUGUGAACAAAGUGAGUAUGGUACUCAAGUAGUAUUAUAAUUUUUUUCAUUGAGGACGGCUCAUGUUUGUUACAAUUUAAAAAAUAGUUUAACGAAAAACUGUGGAAUGAAAGGAAAAUCAUUUGCAACUCAAGCAAGGAGUGAGUCGAUUUGUUAUAAUCUGUUACAUUUCAAAAAAAAAUUCAUCUCACUAUGGUAGCAAGCUCGCAAAAAUUGUUUCCACGGUGAUUUUGUUUGAGGUAUAGAAAUUUGUGUGGUUGAGUACGUUUAAAAUAUCUCGAUAAUAUAAUUAAUUUAGUUGAGAGGGGUGGAUGAGGGUCUUUAGGUUUUGUUGCUUCGUUGCUUGUUUAGUACAUUUAAUAUAUCUCAACCAAUCUGAAUUGUGCACAAGAGGUCAACAAUCAUCCACCUUUUGAUAUAUGAAUUUUGUUUUGGUCAUAUCUCUAUCGAUAAUAAUUUGUUUUAGUUAAAUAACCGUCCAAUGAUUUUAGAACUCCAAAAAUAAAUCUCUAAUUUAAAAGGUUGACUUUAAUACAUUAAAAAAAAACUUUAACUUCAAUUCUCCAAAUUAAAAAUUUUCUAAGUUAAAAAGUUGCAAGGCCAUUUAUUUAUAUUCGUUUUUCUUUUAGAAAAAAAAAAUUAUUCCUUUUUAUUCAUGGUUGGAAAGGACACCAAAAAACGUAGUUAGUGGUAGUUUGAGACAAACAGAAAAUUAUAUUAACAGAGAUAUAACAUAAACAACAUUGCAAAGCGAGAGUUGUAUAAUCACACGCAUAAAAUUAACGAUCACACAUACGACACUUCGUUGUUGCUCAAACGAUAGCUUCACUUUGAUAAUAUCUUCGUCAAUACAACUCUGUUUUAACUAAAUGACCACUUAUUUUCAUACGUUAUUUUAGUGUUCUUUUCAACCAUACUUAUAAAUUUAGAAAAAUGUGAAAGCAUCGUUACUAUCAUUACGGUCGAGGGGACUUCACAAAUUUCUUAAAACUUUGAUACUUUUGGUAUAUAAUGUUUUGGUAAUAAGAAAAAACAAAGAUAGAGAAAACUGAAAAAGUGAGAAAAAGUUCAUUUAAAACUGAGGACAAAAUGGGCAUUGCACAUCUUAAAAGGUUAAAGAAGAAGAAAUAUGUUUUCAACAAAUAGGUAAAUUACAUAGGAUGGGUAGUUUGGGCCACCUUUUUACAUUUGGUUGUAUAUUCACAUUAAAAGCUAUAUAACUCAUUCCAUAAACAAUGAUAUAACUAGUAAUUUUAAUACUAUUAUUCUUCUUCCUCCCAUGCUCAAAAAAUAGUAAUAAAUAAAACUACUAUUUUAUUGGACAUUUUAUGGCUUUUCUAUAUACAUUAAUGAAUUCAAAUUACUACAUUUCAAGAUGAUUUACAUUGAGUUAUAAUUCUCUUAUAUUUUCCAUCACCUUCUUAGGAUAAAAACCAAAUAUCCAAAAAUGUCCUCACUAUCUAUAAGUAUCACUACAAUUUGUUUUCAUAUGCACACCUAUAGGUUUAUUUCUUGAUCUAUAUAAUAUAUACUUCCAUUCUUGUAUGGACAUUUUUAUGGUCAAGAUGGAAAAUUUUGGCUCUGCCAAAAAAAUAUAAUUUACAACUUCUUCUUGCUCUCUAUGUAAAGUACUUUUUGUUCCUUCCCUUUCACAAACUAUCUGAGCUUUUACCUUCCAUCUUAACCUGCUGAAUUCUCUGCCGUAGCCUUCUCCGGUGGUCGUGGAUCUUCCAAAGUCCAUGGCCUAGUAUCACGGCGGAGUAUAUACCGUGUGUGAUGAUUGGAGCAAGAAUGUUAUCGGUCUGAAAAUAUCAUGCCAAAAGACAUAGUAAUAUGUGAGUUUCCUGUUUUUUGAAUUUUGUACAUUGUGUAGUUUACUUAGAAAGGUAAGGUCUUACCUGGAUCCAUUCGAAACCGAGGUAGAGAGCAAGGAGUCCUUCAAGGAGGGGAGAGUAGAUCUUUUUCAUUUGUCGUCUCUCGUACCAUGCUGCAAAUGUUUACACAAAAGAUGUUGAGGGUGAGCGAGACCGUCGUUAUCGAUGAAGUGAAAGUAGAAUGUAAUCAAUCAGCACGUGAAGGAUUUUCUAUUUUCACUUUGGCCACCCUCUCAUUUUUCAAGCUUCAGUACUAAUCUAUCUCAUUCGAGAAAAGUGAAGCAAGAAUUCAGCCAGGGAGAAUCAGAUACAUUCAAACGUUGCUUUACAAGUGCAACUUACAGUAGAAAUGAGGAUUAUAAUCGAACCUGCGAAAAGCUUUCUAAGAUCUUUGCGACCUGAUCGAGAUUGCAAAACUGGAGCAACUACAUAAGUAGGAUCUGGAGAAAAAAAAAAAAAAAACGUAUUCAUUAAACUGGAGACAGUCAACCAAACUGAAAAUUGAACAUGUGCAAAUGAUUUGAUGGAAUAUCGACCUUUUGGUGAUGCAGCAACGUAAUAGAGUGAACCGGUAAGCGCAGCUGUGAUAAAAGCUGCAAAUCCUUGUGCAAAUGGUACGAAUGGAGGCAGCACUCCGGUCUAUAAUCAAGAGAGCACGGUACAAAGUUAUAAGAUGAAGAGAAAAACGACGACUACGAGACAAGUGAACAGAUAGAAUUCGUCAUAAUCCACAAAAGGAAUAAUUUUGCAUACCAAAGAUGCCAUUCCUUGAACAUCAGCUCCAAUAUCAGGACUUCUUAAGAAUAUAUCAGCCAAUGCUCCCUAGAAAGUUAAGGGAAUAGAAAUGUUAUUUAGUACUCCUUGAGACUGAAAUUCAAUCAACAUUCAACAAUCGUACGUAUAGAAACUGGUGAAUCAAAGCAAAAAUUUUGAGCAAGAGUAACUGUGGUCGGAGUUGAAGUCAAGGGGACAAAAUGUCUAAAUAUCGGAAGCACAAACCUGAACGGCUGCCCGGUAAAAGAGCUCCUCGCCGACUGAGCUUGCAGCCACGAUAAGAAUGAACUGCAAAAGUUGGAACACAAAAUAAACAAAAACUCUCUCAUCUUGGGCAAACACCAAACUAACAGCUUUUUUUUAUCAGAUAUUCAUCAACAUAACUAGGAGUUCAUUUUACCUGCCAUGGAGACAUUCCGUAAAAGAAGCUUCGAAGCUCCUCGUCUUCGACAUCUCUAAUCGCUCGAGCAUGGGGCGAUAACUUCACAACUUCAUCCUACAAACAAACCCAAGCCUCAUGUGAUUAAUCAUUCGGAAACUAAAGACUUAAACUUAGGUGGCAGGUGCAUCAAAACACAAAAUCUAAUCCACAGCUUCUUUCCAGUUUUGGAAAUUACUUUUCAAAAUCUAAAAGAAUAAACAUACCCUACAUUGUUCAUAGUUUUCACCUCAAAGUUAGAACCAACCGAACAACUAUUGCAAAAACGAAAAUCAUUUCAUCAAAGAACUCAAGACCUACAUCUUGUCUAAAUCCAGUCGAGCAAAAGCAUUUGUUAACUUGGAAAUCAACUCACAUCAAGAAUGAAGAGAAGAGCCAUAAUUGGAGGAACGGCAUAGCCAAGCCCUUCCAAAAUAGCAUCCAAAGAUGGAUGAAAUCCUCCCAUCCAAUCAGUCCCAGAUAUUGAACAUAUAAACUUUCCAGCCAGUGCCAUUGCACCAUAAAUUCCUACAAGAACAGAACAAAAAAAAAACAAACAAACAAACUCAAAAAACAGAUUUCAAUUCUAAUUCCAAAUCCCAUAAAAAAAAAUUGAAAGAAAGUGAAGGAAAAAAAACACCCAGAAAGCUAAAUCUCAAAAGGAAAACAUUUUGACUCACCAACUCCAUAGCUGAGUCUGACAACAGCACCAAUCUUUUCCCAAACAGGAAACUCUGUUUCUCUGAAACUAGUAUCAAGUGUCGUCACCUCCAUAGCCGGAGCAGUGAACCGGCUACGUGUCUGCCCCUCAUCCAAUCUCUCACUCCUCGGCUCCGCCGACGCCCUAACGCUGACCGGCACUGGAACUCUCCCGCCGGCACGUUUCCUCAUCGCAAAAUGCAAAAACCUGGAGCUUGAAGUAGAACAGAUCCCAAUUCUAGCACCAAAGGACAUGGUCGAAGUGUUUGAAGAUACAGAGAGAAUAGAGAGCUCCAUUCUUUCUUUCUUUCUUUCUUUCUUUCUUUUCUUUUGGGUUAUCUUCUAAACGGGUCGGAAAUCGGGUUUUUCAGACAGAGAUUUCGGGUCUUUCGGGAGUCCGAAACGGAGAAAACUUCGUCUCCUUCAUUGAACUCAAAAUGGUAAUCUUGUUACGAACCUCAGAAUUUUGUUGACUCAUGGAAUUUCUAAUGGGGAUUAACGAGAGAGAUGAUUUUCCGGGAUUGCUUUUUGGACCGUCCGAUUGACCUGGUGGCAGAUCGGACGGUGAUAAGCUUGAGAUGUGUGGGAUCAGCCAUGAAAGUGAUUUUUUUGAGAAAGCUUAGGAUUUUUUUGCAACAAGGUGAGGAUGUCGGAGGCGAAUCCCCAUUACCCAAUCCAUUCUUGCCACCUGGAGAUAACGUUCUCCUUAAGAUAUUACGUGGAAAUUAUAUUGUGCACUUUUUUAAUAGUUUGUAUAUAUUAUCAAUAUGUGUAAUUAAUAUGCAUGCACUUCUUCCCUUAAUGUGUCCAUGGUUAUGAAGUAUUCACUUAGGUGUCUUAAUGUGUCCAUGGUUAUGAAGUAUUCACUUAGGUCUAAAGUUGUAAGAUGAAGUUAUACUUCAAUUUCAGUAUAGGAUAUAUAGGAACAUUUACGAAAUUAAUUCACAUACUAACUCUACUAAAAAUAUUGAAGAAAUGGUUAAUUUAAAUUAAAAUCAAUUUUUGAAAAGAAAAGUAGUAAACUCUUAUUUCAUACACAAAUUAAUCAUUAAGCAACUCUAUGAAAAUGGAGAAUCUCAACAAAAGCAUUAAGAAAAUAACUCUAAAAUAUGAUUUUUGAUUAAAGUUGCAUCAAUUCUCCAUAAUAAAAAAAAACAUAUAAAUCCAUGUGAAUGUAUUUAUUUUUCACAAUUCUUUAAACAAAAAUUUGUCAAAAAUGUUUAUAAAAUUUUCCAAUAAUCCAAGUUUAAGAUAUUAAAAAAUUACUAAAUUUUGAUUUGUUCCAAUCACAAAAUACCAGAUACUUAUUUA
This 72477-nucleotide long non-coding RNA is filed under the name Cucumis sativus (cucumber). RNAcentral describes it as "long non-coding RNA (CSAT_LNC000832)". The record is from RNAcentral. Lineage: Eukaryota; Viridiplantae; Streptophyta; Magnoliopsida; Cucurbitales; Cucurbitaceae.